GGGCCUCGACGUCGUCGACCUCGUGGCGCUCUCAGGAGGGCACACCAUCGGCGACUCGCGGUGCGUGAGCUUCCGGCAGCGGCUGUACGGGCAGAACAACAACGGGCAGGUGGACCGGACGCUGAACCCGGCGUACGCGGCUGAGCUGCGGGGGCGGUGCCCGCGGUCCGGCGGCGACCAGAACCUGUUCGCGCUGGACCAGGCGACGCAGUUCCGGUUCGACAACCUGUACUACCACAACAUCCUGGCCAUGAACGGGCUGCUCAGCUCCGACGAGAUCCUGCUCACGCAGAGCCGCGAGACCAUGGAGCUCGUCCACCGCUACGCCGCCGACCAGGGCCUCUUCUUCGACCACUUCGCCAAGUCCAUGGUCAAGAUGGGCAACAUCUCGCCGCUCACCGGAACCGCCGGCGAGAUCAGGCACAACUGCAGGAGGGUCAACCACUUCUAAUUCUAAGGAGGAUGCAUAUAUAUAUGAUGACCUGCGCCUGCUGCUUGGUUGGCCACAUAUCUGUGGUGCUUUAUGCUUUGAUGAUUUCAUUCUGGGUGCGUGCUUCGUGUUUCAUACUUGGGUUUUAAGUGUGCAGUAGUCGUAAAUGAUUGAAAUUUCUGUUUGAGUUUGGUGCCGUUCAAUCUUAAGUUGAUUUUUCACUCAUGUAAUUUGCAAUUCGUGUACGAAGAAAUGAUCCAAUAAAAUUCAGCGUUUGUGUCAUUGCUAAACUACUCAAAUUAAAUUAAGGAUGACAUGUGCAAUUCUAGGGGUACCAACUACCAAGUCUUUUUUUUUUCUUAGGAAAAUUUUGCUAUACAAGGAUAGGAUGAUCAGCUUGUGUGGUGUUUGGUCAUUUCACAUUGAACUCAUUGAAAUUGGCCAAGUAGGGGUACAACACAACCAUCCGGAGUUGCAGAGAUGAUAACUCCACCAUUUUCUCGAUGGUUGGCGGAGAAGAGGUGAUAGCAAGCUUCAUGCCGCAGUACGGGAGAAGGGAAAUUUGCUGAGUGUCGCGGGCUUUGCCGAGAGCCAAAACUCGGGCACUCGGCAAAGCCUCUCUUUGCCGAGUGUUGCACUCGGCAAAGAUUUGCACUGUGGGCAAAGAGUGGCUUUGCCGAGUGCCAGAAAGAGCCUGGCACUCGGCAAAGAGCUGCUCUCAGCAAAGGUAUUCUUUGCCGAGUGCAACACUCGGCAAAGAAGGGCACCCAGCAAAAUAAAAGUAACCUCAUGGCCGCCCCGCGUACGCUGUUAAAAAAAGUAUUUUACCGAGAGCCGGCAUAAGCACUCAGCGAAGACGCUUGCUUUGCCGAGAGCCGGGAUGUGGCACUUGGCAAAGAGGGCUCUUUGCCGAGUGCCGCUGCCUAGCACUCGGCGAAGAGCCCUCUUUGCUGAGAGCCGCGGCCUAGCACUCGGCGAAGUUUUUUUUGUUUUUUGUUUUUUUUUGCCCAUGUUUUUUGUGAGGCCUUACCACAUUAUUUAAAACUCUAUGUUCAAAUUUGGGACAAUUUUGAGUUUUUUAAAUAUAUUUCUUUAUUUUUUUCCUCCUGUUGAAUUUUUUGGAAUAUUUCAAAUUUGAACUGUAUGUUAUGGAAUAAUCAAAUUUGAUCGUUAUAAAAAUAAUAUUCAUGAUUUUUGGUUUAUGUUGAGGUUGUAUCCAGGACCUCACAUGAAAUGUCAAGCAUCUUCUUGACCUAACAUGACGAGGUAUUUGUGAGGAAAAUGUUAUUAAAUUAUAUAAAAUCCGAACAAAGUCCAAAAAUCACGAAACUUGUUGAUGCGUCAUGUUAUUGCAUAUAGAGGCUAUGAUAAAAAAUUGAGAAGGUUUCGACUAAGUUGUGAUGUCGGAUGUCUAAAACUCAUACAUGAUUACAUGUGAUCACACUCACCAUAUGCAUGGUCAUGUUUAGGUUUUAGGCAUUCGACGUGACAACGUUCUCCAAAUCGUCUCAAAUUUUUAUCAUAGCUUCUACAUAUGAUAACAUGAGACUUUGUCAAGGUAUCACCACAUGGUAAGUUACCUCGCCCAAACGAUGAUGAUUACAACUUGAACCCACCCACGCAUGACGAAGAGUUCUAUCAACAAGACGAGGGGCUACCAGGGAUGUUUGAGAUAGACUUAACCAGUGAGAUUGAAAUGGAAGAGUAGACGAGGAUGUCUGGGUUGUUAACGAGGAAGCUGCAGAUGAGGUGCGUGAUCCGAGGGACUUGAAAAUGCUUGACGGACUAGAACUAGGCAAUGACAGCGAUGAGGAUGAGGCUGAUGACGAUUUGGAGGCUCUUGAUAGUGACAAUGAUACCUAUCGCCUAGAUAAUCCCAAUCAUGAAGAAUAUUAGAAAUACAUGUAAUACUAUGUUAUUUUGUAAUUGCAUUUUAUUUUUUUCAUCCCUUGCUAAGUACUUCUCGUUUAUCUGGACUAAUACUGGUUUAUUCUUUUUAAUUGUAGGUGAUGGGGCCCACUAGGAGGAGUUGUCACUCGACUUACUCGAGACCGAGGGACACGCCACCGGCGGAGGAGACGGAGGCAGAGCUGUCAGAGAGGCAGAGGAGGCCGAGGGGCAAGCCCAGGCGAGAGCCUUCGACUGACCACGAGCGCGGCUCCUCGCGCUUUUGUAGGGACGACAUCGUCCCUCUGCCCACGGUGGGUGAGGAGGCGAUUCCACAGAUGUACGACGUUGUCGUUGCGCACACGUCCGAGGGGGAGGUUCCGCACACGUCCGAGGAGGGGGCAGGGGGGUCGACUUCCUCUGCAGCCUCGAAACCCUACUGGCGAGGUCCCAGCCAGCUCCCAAAGCGACCGAUUCCUGUUGAGCGUCGCCCACUGAUUGCACCCGAGGGGGAUAAGUAAGUAACUUGAUAUAUUCUUCAUUUAAUAUUUGAAAAAUAAUAAUAAGAGCUAAUAAUGACUAGUGUGAACCACUUGUGCAGGAACUGGAUGCUGGUGGAGGAGGGGGUCCCGGCUCGCAAUGUCAAUGGGAUCCUAGGACUUUUGUGUAGGGAACAUUUCCCUGGCCUGGUGUGGCCAUCAGAGGAUGGGGACCUAGAGGUACCCUCAUUCGACAAGUACGCCCUCGUCGCCGAUGAUGUUCACAGAAACUUGGCGGAUCAGGUGAUUAUGGAGUUGUGGGUAAGCCUUUUUCUCGCAAUACGGCCCUCAAUUAUUUGCAUUCAUUGCACAUUCUUGAAAUAAAAUAAUGGAAACCUUGUGUCUUUGUGCAGGACUUCUUCAGAUGCCAGCCAGGACAGGAGGAAAGGGCGUAUCAGGUGGCUUACGCUUCCUGUAAAAGGCGUGUCACAGACUUGUAUUACGAGGCCCGCGUCCAGGCACACGUUGACUACAACGCCAAGUUCUGCAACAGAAGAAUCAACAAAACACAGGCAAGAAGAGAGACAGAGAUACUGACAAGGGAGCAGUACCUAAAGGUAAAUAGAAAACCUCCUAUUGAUUUCUUUUGCAAUUAACUAUGCCUAAUUUGAUCUUCUAAUGUCUUGUAGGUGAUUCCAAGGUGGUGUGCCAUCCACCGCGAUUGCUGGGCUGCUAUAGUGGACAAAUGGUUGGACACGGAAUGGCAGAAGAUGCACCAAGAGAAGAGUGACCACCGUAUGAUGAUGCCAGGUGUACCUCACCAUCAGGGCAGCACCAGCCUCAGUAAAUACGCAAAGACAUAUGUAAGUCUCCACUAGUUCUUUAAUCUAACCACGCUCAAUUCUACCUCUCUUCUAACCACAUGUUGUUUCUCUCACAGUCGGCGACGCACGGUGGCCAACCAAUUGGCCAACUCACGGCGUAUGCUCUUGCCCACAUGGGUCCGACAAAGUCCAACAUCGAGUACAACCCGGAUGCGGGCCCAGAGGCGUACACGAACUCCAGCGUCCACACCCGCCUCACUUCGUACACGGAGGCAGCAAGGUCAGUCCAUGGGCCGGACUACGAUCCUAGGACCGAGGAGCGCCUUGAUCCUGAGCUUGUGAUGAGGGUGGGAGAAGGUAAGAAGCAUGGGCGGUUCUGGAUAGGCGACGGCGUCCUCAACACGACCUCUACUCUUCCUCUCAACCGCCUUCGAGCAGCGAGCACGAGCUCUAGCGUGCCCAUAAGCAAACGACCAACAACUGUUGCGACACUCCAAGUAAGUAUUCUAGUUUCAUUUGUUCUUUGCCUUUUAUAUUCUUUAGCUUUGCAUUAUUCAAACCUUGGGAUCAAAUUGUUGUAGGUUGAGCUACAGCAACUUCAGGCCCAGCAGGAGGCUGAGCUGGCUGUGCGGGUUGCUGAGCGUCAGAGAAUACAAGCUUUGGAGGCCCAGCAAGAAGGUUUGCUCAAGUGGGUGCAACAAAUUGGGCAGCAGCAAGGUUGGCAGAUCCCAGAAAACCUACUCGCACCACCACGACCAACACAUCAUGUAGAUUCUACUACGGUGAGUACGAAUACAAAUAUGUUACUUUCUAUGCUCAUGCUUAGUGUCAAACUUAGUGAUGGCGGAUUUGUUGAUGUGUGGGCCUUCGUGCUGGAUUUGUUCAUAUGUCGGGCUACGUGCUGGAAAUGUGUUUGUCAGCCUUCGUGCCAACGUUUUUGUUGCAGGUUUUGGGAACCUCCCCGUGCAGGGGAGGUGCUGCUGAAAUUUUUAACUUUUGUUUGAACUAUUUACAUUUUUUUCUUCUCACUCACAUGCAAUCUAUUCUCUUUUGUGCAGCAUCAAUCGGCAGCAGCGUCAAACCAUUGCGGAGAGUCGCCGACAUCGCAAGUCGGCCCGUCCCAUCCCUCACAUUCGCCGUGAGCUGCUUGCGGAUUCUUUUUUAUGUAUUGAACUUGUGAACUUGUAGACUAUGAGCUGUGGUUUGUUUGCUGUUGAACUAGUGAACUUGUAGACUAUGAGCUGUGGUUUGUUUGCUGUUGAACUAGUGAACUUGUUGAACUAUUGAACUUGUGAACUUGUGGACUAUGGACUGUGAGCCGCUUGUGAUUAUUUGAUGUUGAAUCGUGGUUUCUGGUAUGUAUAUAUAUGUAUUGUUGUCUAGAUGGGGUAAAACAAAAAAAAAGAAAUUUUCAAAGGUGGCUUUGCCGAGUGCAAUGGUCAUGGCUCUCGGCAAAGAAAACACUGAAAUAAUAUUAAAACAUGUCUUUGCCGAGUGCCAUGACCAUUGCACUCGGCAAAGAAAGUACUGAAAUAAUAUUAAAACAUGUCUUUGCUGAGUGCUGAGAUAGGGCACCCGGCAAAGAAAAUACUGAAAAAUAUUAAAACAAGUCUUUGCCGAGUGUUGCACUCGGCAAAGAGGGUUUUUAAUUUAAAAAAAUAAAAAUCUUUGCCGAGUGUUGCGCUCGGCAAAGAAAACACGGCGUGACCUGCCUGAUAGACGGCGUUAGAUCUUUACCGAGCGUCAUCGUGGUACUCGGUAACUCCUUUGCCGAGAGUCCGCAUUUUGGCACUCGGUAAAGCCGGCUUUACCGUUAACAUCUUCGCCGUAAUUCUUUGCCGAGUGUUGCACUCGGCAAAGGCUUUGCCGAGUGCAAUUUUGCCUUUGCCGAGUGUAACAGACACCCGGCAAAGAAUCAGCCUGCAGUAGUGCCAGUAGACAUAAAGCAAUAGGGUUCGAACCCACUCAACUAUGCAUCAAAUUGGCAAAUAGUACUAUGGGAAAUAACAACUGGAGGUGCUUAGAUUAUAUAUAUCCCACCAUCUCAUUGUCUUUGAUGGGAAGCUGAUGAGUAGCGACAUCCAUGACCUAGGUAGUGAAAGUGAUGGCUUCACUAGAGGUGUCGCAAGGCUCUCAAAGCAGGAGGAUGGGAGAAACGAAAGAGUAGUUAAGGUGGAAUAGUACAAAGCAGAUGGCCAGCAACCGACAUUAUACCAAAAUAACACAAAUGAAACACUCAAUUAGUGACAUAGAAUUCAAAUAUGCUACUAAUAUUUCCUUCAAAAUAUGCUACUAAUAUAAGAUUAGAGAUGCGAGUGAACGGAAUGGGUACAUACCGUCCAUGGCCAGGAAGCAAAAUGCAUCACUAAUGACAAGUUACCAGAGACUCACCCCAACUAGAAGCAUCACUAAUAAUAGGGGCUGUUAUCUAUGAUGUGUUUCACCGAGACAAGUUUUUGAUAUAUAGACACAUCAAAGACUCUUCCCAACUAGAUGAAUCUCUAAUAAUAAGGGCUGAACAAGACAAAUCCAAUGUUGUGAUGUAUUUUAAAUAUCAUUGCCUCAUUUGCUUAUAUAUGUGAACAAGUAAUGUUUGAUUGAGAAGCUGUGGUAAUAUUGAUAGCUUUGACGUGCGCCAUGCAUGGGACCUGUGUGUUGUGAUGUCUGUGUUAUUACAGACAUGUGAUUUAUAACGUCUAUGAUUUAUGCUGACGAGAGACUCAUUUUAAUACAUGUCACUGAUGAAAAAACAUUGCUAAGUGCUUAUUGUGAGAACAUGUUAGAGACACACCUGAAAUAAAAGCAUAAUUGAUAAUGGUAGUAUUUGAGAUGCACAUGAAACAAAAAUAAGAGUAAUCUCUCAAACAUGUCACCGGUAAGAUUCAUAUUUGAGACAUGUCUUUGAAUCAAUAGUCACUGAUAAGAAUCAUAUUUGAGACAUGUCUUUGAAUCAAGAGUCACUAUUAUCUUCACAGUGACACGCUUGUCGAAUACACUCAGCUGAUGUCUUCACAUCAGCCACACAUUUUCUCAAUACACAUCACUGAUGUAUUCACAUUAGAGACAUAUAUAAGUACGUGUUUUUUUCUAGCAUCUCCAAUGUGGAAUUUGACAUAGUGCAAUGUAGGUAACAUAUCCCAUUGGAGAGGGAGUAGAACGACAAUCAUUAUUGUUGAGAAAUUUUGUGACAAUAAAAGACUUUUUUUCUACGGUCUCCCUCCUUGCAUCAUGCAAAUCAAUAUUUUGAUUGCUAUGGUGUUAUAGGAAAAAGCACAUUGAUUUAAUGAUGGUACAUGAUCAAUUCUAGUAAUUUUGAUAUCAACCAAUACCAUGAAAGUUCAGCAAAUAUGACAUUUUUAUUUGGGAAAGCUAAACAUAACUGGAGUGAUUUGGACCAUUAUUCCCUCACUUGAUAUUUUUAGCUAAUCAACAAAUGCCAUGGCGCGCGAUGUCUUCCUCAGUCCCGGUGAGGCUAGUUUUUUGGUGGAGGUGCAUCUAGGCGCUAAGCGAGUUCUGAUGGAUUUAUGGGACUAACAUACGUGAUGAGAUCAUGCAUAUGCAUGUGUUUAGUCCUAGAUUGGUUAGUGACUGGGCUCAAAUGAAGCAAACUACAAUAAAAUAUGAAUUGAGUCCAAGAUUGAAGGAUGAAUUUUAUAAUUGACAAAGGAUAUUGGUAAAUUGCAAUGUGUCUAUGUGGGUUCAGCAAGUAUGGCCAUGAGUUUGCAAUGUGUCUAUACAAGAGUUGAGUUGAUUAGUGUGAGCUAACUAGCUAGGUCGGACUUCUCACCAAACUGGCCAGGCUAUAGUUUUAAAAGACCAGAACAAAAUUCUUCCAAAGAUGGCCAAAUUCACCCAAGCUUCUAAAGAAAAAAGGAUAAGUCACUUACAAGUGUACAAGAAGUAAGGAAAUGAAGUGCCAAACUAGAACAAAAGUCGCAUUUGCUACACUUGUAGAAGAAAGGAACAUUUGAGUAAGGAUAGUCCCAAUGAUAGACUAACAGGCCUGCAUUGAGUAACAAGAUAUAGUUGACUUGGGAUAGACUAACAGGCCUGCACUGGGCCUCCACUAAGUUAGCGGUCCAGGCCAUGCCGCUUGAUGUGCCCAGAGAGCAGCCAAAGCACAGACUGCUGCGAUCUUGAGCCGGGCCAACGGGCUGCGAGCUGCAUGUGCAUCUAUAGGGUUCAGAAUAGAGAUUAGAACAAUAAUUUUUCUCUCUAACCAUUUUGGAGGAAUUUAUGGUUUGGAUGCCCAAGAUAAAAUAUUAUACACAGAGUUUUUUGCACUCUAAAUUAUGUAUGUUGGAGUUGUUCCAAAUUCACUUCAGGAUAUUGGCCGGGCUUCUGACGGAGCGAAGCGGAGGCCCGUCGCCGGAGGGUUUAGGGUUUAGGGUUUAGGACUUAUUGGAUAUGUGGAUUCUGAUUAUGCUGCUGAUUUGGACAGGCGAAGAUCACUUACUGGUUAUGUGUUUACUGUUGGUAGUUGUGCUGUGAGUUGGAGGGCUACUUUACAGUCUGUUGUUGCUUUGUCUACUACUGAGGCAGAAUAUAUGGCUAUUUGUGAAGCGUGCAAAGAGUUGAUUUGGUUAAAAGGUUUGUACGCUGAGCUCAGUGGAGUUGAAUCUUGCAUAAGUUUGCAUUGUGAUAGUCAAAGUGCAAUUUACCUCACUAAAGAUCAGAUGUUCCAUGAGAGAACUAAGCACAUAGAUAUCAAGUAUCAUUUUGUGCGUGAUGUGAUUGAGGAAGGUAAGCUGAAGGUAUGCAAGAUUAGUACUCAUGAUAAUCCUGCUGAUAUGAUGACAAAGCCUAUUCCUGUUGCUAAGUUUGAGUUAUGCUCAAGCUUAGUAGGUUUGAUUGAAUAGUCCAAGAGACUAUUGUUGGCACCACUGGUUUUCUAUCUUUGUUGUUUAGGAUGAUGGGUUGAUUUAUGAUACAAGAAGAAUUUGUCUCAAGGUGGAGUUUGUUGGAGUUGUUCCAAAUUCACUUCAGGAUAUUGGCCGGGCUUCUGACGGAGCGAAGCGGAGGCCCGUCGCCGGAGGUUUCGUGGAGACACACGAUUUACGUGGAAAACCCCUCCAAUACUAGGGUUUCGUGGAGACUUGAUUCUCUUGUAAGCCGCCGCAGGCGUGUAACCCAAACUCUUGAGAUAGUGAGAUCGUUGCUGGCUGGUGCCCGUGGUUUUUCCCCUUCGCAUUGGAGGGGUUUUCCACGUAAAUCGUGUGUCUCUGCGUUGAUUGAUUUCAUACUCCAUACGUCGUUUCUAACAAUGUAUGUUUUCCAUGGUUCUGCAGUUAAAUUUCGUGGUAACACCCUCUGAUGCGCGUCUUUUGUGUGCACUAGCUUUAAUUAGGUGAUUUGGAAGCAUAGUAAAGUUUCGACUGAAGCUAAUGCCAUCCUUGCUACUUGAGAAGGACAUUCUUUUAAAGAAAAUAACCUGAGUAUGAAAACAUCAUCGCAGCAACGCAGUGCAAAAUCAUUUGUCAUUGGUUACAGAAAUAAAUGUUUGGCCACAGCAGAAUAAUGCAAUGGCAGUAAAAACGUGCAGUGCACACGUGAGAUAAUAUAAUGGUCCUCAAUGCCAGCUGCAUGUACGAUUGCACAACCCAUAAAUCACAGCAACAGAUGACACACAGAGUCACAGAGAGCCGCCCAAUGUCGAUGAGAAGUCCAGUGAGUGCGGGCUCGAUAUUGGGAGGUAGGAUGCAGUUUGUGCUCGAGGAGUAGAGGUGAUGCAUUGAGUGUAUCUUGGAAUUGGGAGGCAUCAGAAUUCUGGGAUAUAUGGCUCGCCUUGCAGUUGCAGUGGCUGCCCAUCCCAAUCUGGAGUCCUGUACUCCUGUGGCAUUAAGAUCCCAGUCGUGUAGAAUUAGCUCUUUGAGCAUAACUUCCACUUCACCGAAGAGCAGGCAUUUUUUUCCUUUCAAUCAAAGUGAUCCUGUCUCAUAUCCAGGUCUUGCACAAACCGUCCAUGAAGCGCGAAUGAGGGCCGGCAUGCUGCCUCCCAGAUAGCUGUGUGUCCAAUCAAUGUCCUGUAUGCAGUCCCAAGCUCCGUAUCGAGCCGUGAGAUAAUGUAAAAUGAAUUAAUGUUUUUUUUUCCUUUUGCAAGAGUAAUAGUUGUGGCAGCUUCCCUAACGUUUAUUUCGCUUCAACAAACAUCACAAGGUCUAGUGUCAAAUUAUUGUUUGUUCCGUUGAAAUUUAACUUAUGCUAAUUUGUUGAAAGAGGAAAAUACUGCUAAAAUAGUAUUUUAAGUAUUUUGCCUACCAUCCUGACAGAAGAGUCGAUGAGUUAUCAUUGUCGGUGGCUCUAAUAACUAUAUCCAAAUGAGUCUGGCUAAUAAAUAAUAUCCAAAAUACUUAUGAAGGCGCUAACAAAUAAUAUCCAAAAUACUUAUGAAGGCGCGGGAAUGUCUACGCUUAGGAAAAGUAGAUGUCCAUGCUAUGCUACUUGCCAGACCUAGCAAUAUAAUUCCAGACUUUUUAAAUUAUAAAUAUGUACACCUUAAAUAUUUAUUUUUAGCUUCCCUUAUCAAUCCUCUGAGUGCUUAGUUUGUUGCAAAUCUAAAUAAUAAUCUGCAUGCCGCAGGCUGUAUGUUCUGUUUCAACAAUGAAGCCAGAUAAACACUGGAACAACUUUGUUGACAGUGCCAAUGAGCGAUACUAGUUCUUCAAGGUGUGUUUGUGACUGCUGCUAUCUUCUAUCCUUACCAGGAAAGAGUAAAUCAUCUGGAUGGGUCUAGACGACUAUGCACAUCUUGCAAGUUCCCAAGGCAUUCACCACAGUCUUUGAAGAGGAUACCAAAUAUAGUGAAGGCAGAAAAAAAAAGUUUCAUUCGGAGCCAAAUACUCUAGAACUGGAAGAAAUCAAUGAAAAGAAGUUGUAAGGCAGGAGCUCAUGAAUGCUCCAAGCACCAGAAUAGAAAUUGGAAGAACGGUUCUCUUGUCGUAUCGAUUUGGAGGAAUCAAUGAUCUGAAUACCCACGUUAAUACUGUAUACACAUUCUUUGCAGUAUGAUACGUGUAUGUCUUUCUACAGUUUGUAGUUAAUUUCGCAGUAACGCCCAGUUACGCGCAUCUCUCGUGUGUGUAUUUAGGUGAAACCGGAACGUAACGAAGUUUCAACUAAAUUAACCAAAUCAUAUCCUCCCUACUUGAGAAGGUUUUUUGUUUUUAAAAAAGUACCUGAGUUCCGAAACACCAUUGCAGCAGGGCAGUGCAAAAACCAUUUGCCAUUAGUUACAGAAAUAAAUGUUUGGCCGUAGCAGAAAUGACAGCAAAACGUGCAGUUCACAUGACAUCAUGUACUAUAUAAUAGUCAUCUAUGCCAGCUGCAUGUCCGAAGAUCCAUAAAUCAUCAUGACCUUAAAAGAGACCAAGCAGAGCACGCCCAUUCUUCGACAAGCAUCAAAUGACACACUACUGAGAGCCGUCCCAAGUGGUGAUGAGAACUUGAGAAUCAGGUGACUAUGGUCUCGAGAGGGAGGGGGGAUGCACAGUUUUGUGCUGGACUGCGUGCUAGAGCGGUGAUGCGCACGCUGAGCGUAUCAUGGGAUUGGGAGGCACCGGAAUGCUGGGAUAUACGGCUCGCGUAGAAAUGGCUACGGAUCCGAACAUGGUGUCCUGUUUAAGAGGGAUAUCAAGGUCCCAGUGCUGCAGAAUUCACUGUUGCACCACAAGACUCAGGACAAGGUGUCGUAUUCCAUUCGAUCAAAAUGAUCCUGUCCCGUAUCCUGGUCUUGCACCUGUCCACGAAGGUAAACUGUGUGCCACUGAUCAGGACAGCGUGCUGCUUCCAGAUAUUAGCGCCCGCUAUGCUGUCACAAGUAGUCCAUACCAGCUGCUGUUCAUCAUCAUCUUCUUCUCUUUCACUUUUUUUUUUCUGCUUUUGCAAUAGUAAUAGUAGUGGCAGCUUUCCUAGCAGAAUACAAAUAUACCAUGGUUUAUUUUGCUCCACCCUAGCUACGUUGAGGGUAAUUCAUAGGAAGUAGAGGUGUUUCACAACCGUCCUGACUGAACUGGACGAGGAGAUCAAUGUGGGUGUAACUAUCCAACAAAUGAAUCUGGCUGCUAAAAAAAAAAUCCGAAAUAUUAACGAAGACGUUAGAAAUAUGCGUGCUGAGUAAAAGUGAUGGUUCUCCAAGCUACGCUGCUUGCUUCUUUCCAGUCCUAGCAAUUAUUCCUUGAGAACUGCUCCAGCACUCCUUCAGAUUAGUAUGAAUCUCGAAGCAGCAAGAUAAUUAUCUAAAUUCAUUUAUUAGAUUUUAUAAGUUCUGGCCCGUCCCUGCCCAGUUCUGAGGCCCUGUUUAGUUCUCCAUCUAAAAAUUUUUCAUCCAUCCCAUCGAAUCUUUAGACAUAUAAAUGGAACAUUAAAUGUAGAUAAAAAAAUAAACUAAUUACACAGUUUGAUUGAAAAUCGCGAGACGAAUCUUUUAAGCCUAGUUAGUCUAUGAUUAGCCUUAAGAGUAACCCACAUGUGCUAAUGACAGAUUAAUUAUUCUUAAUAGAUUUGUCUUGCAGUUUCCAGUCGAGCUAUGUAAUUUAUUUUUUUUAUUAGUUUCUAAAAAUCUCUCCCGACAUCUUUCCGACAUAUCCGAUAUUACACCCAAAAAAUUUUCAACUCCAAUCUAAACGGGGCUGAGGAUGCAGAUGGACCCACGCGCUGCCCAGUUUUAUGUGUGGUGGCGUGACGAGAACGGCAGUUUGCUUACUCCGUGUCGGAGGGAACUCAUUAAAUGAACGACGGUGCACCAUCGACACCACAAGACCACAACGGCGGCUCCAGCUUCCUCAAGGGCCACGAUCGUCGAAGGGUGUUGGGACUCCAAACAUCCAUGGUGGGGUCAAGCACCGCGAGCAUCUCCAAACUGGCUUCUUGCUAGGCCCAGCUGGGCCGGGGCAGCUGCGCCCCCUCCUUGGGGCCUAGUUGGCCGUUUUCUCCACUGAUGAGUACGGCCUAGAUUGCGCAUGUGAUAAUACUCACCCUUCUCCACUCAGCGUGUCCUCAUGCCAAAAUGUGACCCACUCGUCGAUGCCAUCGGGUGGUAGAGCUCCUUCCGACAGGAUGGCCACUCGAAGUUGUACUGAAGGUUGCCAAUGUAGCUGAAGAGGUAGUAGAUGAUAUCGCCCGUGGUAGAUCCAAUCCGUGCACCCCUUAUGCUACAACAAGAAGAGGAUGUGUUAUCAAUGUCGGAAUGUUUUGAAGCAAACCAUCACUCGUGGAGGAGCGACGAAGCCACGAAUGUGGUAGUUGAUGUCGGGGUUGAUGGAGAUUGGACAUGGUGCCAUAUCGUCGUUGUCGAAUGUGUCGACAGUGAUGUCGUGAGGUCUAGCAUUGAGCCAAAGAUGAAGGCACCCAAGUCAAAUGUGUCCAAUGAGAGGCGAUGAAUGUCAGAGCCUGAAAGAAGACUAAUGUUGACGCUGUCAAUGCGGGCAAUAAGACGACCAAAGUUGUUGGGGAAAGACAACCGUAGCCACUGCUAUAGGGCAUUGUAGCAACCAUGGGUGGCCCAGGAGGAUGUGUGUGGGCAUCCCCUUGAGUUGUCCUCCCUACAACAGAGGUACUUGUGCUCCCAAUGCCAACAACUCUAUGUUGGUGGAACCUCCGCGUCGUAGGACUUGCAAAAGGUGGGGGAGCAAUGCUGAUGCCGCUGGUAAGUAGAAGCGCCGGUCAAAGAAGAUGAGGCCCUGAUCCAUGGACCAUGCCUGCGUGGCCUGACCCUCCAUGAUGGUCAUAGCGAUGGUGCGGAGCUCCCACUGCUUUCUGAUAGCCUGGCGCAUGUGCGUGAAGAUGAUGUCGUCUGGAUUGUCGAUGUGGUCAAGGGCGUUGGGAAGGGGGGCUCUCUGUGACCUGUUCAUCACAUUACAAGGGGAGGGUGGUGAAGUCCAUGCUUCGCAUACCAUUGGCGAGGGCACCGAGAGUGCGAGCAUCGUCAUAGGCGCCUGACGAUGAAGAGUAGUGUGGAAGGUGUACGGACACCCAUUGUGACAGUACUACAGCUCCAUAUUGAUGAAGUCCUAGAUAACAUGCUCGAGGCUAGCUAGCCAUGGCGUGCCAAGUACGACGUCGACAUCAUUGGCAAUGUUGAGGAGGAAGGUGUCGAUGUCGAAGGCGAAGCUGCUGAUGUGUGGUAGUAUGUUGAAGGAAGCACCGUGGCAUAGGACCUCGUUCCCGGUACCAAUGAGUAUGGUGGUGUUGAUGCAUUGCUCUUAGAGACAAAUGGAGCUGGUGACGUUGAUGUCGAUGAUGUUGUGCCUCGAGCCUGAAUCCACCAGCACAAGGAUGCCCACGCCAUUCAUCACCCCCUCAAGGUACAUGGGGGAGGCGCCUUGGACCCCGGAUUGGAGCCUGUCGAUCAUCGCCAUAUAUUAGGUUGCCGUCAGCCUCCUCCAGGUCAUAGUCAUUGACAACGGUGAUGUCGAAGAGCAGCUUGCACUUGUGGCCAUGUGCAAACGGCUUGUCGUAUUUGAAGCAUAGGCUGGCACGGCGUCAUUCUGCCAUCUCUUCAGCGGUAAGACGCUUGAAGGGGCGGGAAGUGGGCCCAACAGCAAACUAUAUACUCACUACUUUAUAAUUGUUGGAGAAAAUAAAAAUCCAAGUCUUAAAUGAAAGAGUCUGGUUGGAAUCAUAAGUGUGGUAGAAAGAACCGAUUAGGAACUUCAACUUCGUUUUUACGGCAUCCACUUAAUUUGAAUCAAGUAAAAAUAAAAAUAAAUUGAAUAUAAUUCUUAAUAGGCCUGACUCCGUAAAUCCAUUUUAGCAGAUGAGCAGUUUCUAACCUCCUCCGUAAAUCAAGUCAAUGCUGAGGAGGAGACAUCUAAACAUUCAAGAUGAUGAACUACGUGUUAUGUGCAAUGCAGGCCUCGAGGAGGACAUUGACCAUCUUUUCUUUUCACUGCCCUUUCGCAGAACAGUGCUGGACUACCAUCAACAUCAUGUUAGAUAUCAAUUUACGCCUACCAGAGAGGUUUCCUGCAGCCCGCCAAAAUCACAACCUGGAAUUCUUCAUGGAGGCUUCCCUGAUUGCGACCUGGGAGCUAUAGAAGAUGCAGAAUGACAAAGUGUUGCAUGGACGCGAUCCUACUGUUAGUAGCUGGUUAGCCAACUUCAAGAAUCAAUGUAUUUUGCAGUCGCUUAGAUUUAGGGAUGACCUGAGGACCUCCUUGUGUUUUUGGCUUGAUGCAUGCUUUUAGCUAAUUCAGGUUUGUAACCUUGUUUAAACCCUUUUGAUAUAUACAAAAUCAACUGCAGGGAUCUCUCUCACAGUAUUUGCAUAAAAAAACCUCCUCCGUAAAUAAAACGUCUGCUUCCAAAAAUCCUCAUGUAUUUUAGGAGACGAUUGAAUUUUGUGACCGCUUCCAUUAAUGAUUGGGCAGUGUACGUCUCGCGAAAUCAUUUAUAUAGUAGUGAUUGGGAGGCACCGGGACUCUUGGUUACUAUGAUUCAGGGAUACAAAGGGUGUGGUUGGUUCUGGGCUGUCGUACUUCACUAGGGUAGAGUGUCGACAAAAUCCAAUCAAUUGAGGAUAUGUCAUCCUCUACCACUUUGAAUACAUCGACACAGGUCUACCCCCUGUGUCGCUCCUAAAUUGGCUGUCCUUCCCUCUCAUCCCCGCUUCCUUGCACGCACAUAGAGUUUAGAUGUUGCGGGUUGUUGUUUGUGUUGUUGGCAAGAGGAAUUCAUGUCUAUUCUGCAGUUCGCAGACAAGAGCUCAACUACUAGACAAACUUAAAAUCUGUUUGCUGGCGGUGUUGUUGUUUUUGGGUUGUUGCUCUAUUUGUUAUUGACAUUUCACUUUUUCCAUCUUAAUAACAUUACUAAGUAAAGACUGCUACUGAAGCCUUCACGUUAAGCUUUACCAGAUGAAAUAAAUUAAUAUAUAUAACUUCUUGAAACCCAUGAAAAUGAAAAACAUAUGAAUGUUAAUUUAGUAGACUCUAUUUUGACAACAAUAGUCACGAGAUCUAUGCCAUUUUCUAAAAUUUAACAGCCUCCGCCAUUGUGAAGACAGAAAUAUCUUCCAAUAUGAAAUCUAUAUGCCAAAUUACUAAUGCGUAUGCCAAUAUGUGUAAAAUGGUUAGACAACAUUGUGCUUUAUAUGAUGAUUUAUCUGUUACAUUGUCCUAUGAAACUAAUCUAAAACCACCAUAAAGAGUGGACAUUUUAAGGUGCCCACCUCGGUUAAUCGAUUUUGCGAGGUGGUUGUUUAUAACCGCCUCGGUUAAUAAAAAACGACAGUCUUGGUUAGUUCGAGGCAUUUAACUGAGACGGUUCAAAAUUAUGCCCGCUUUUGAGGGGGUUUGGAAAAGGUCGCAGUUAAGUUUUUUUUAGUAGUAUCCAAGUGAGGUUUUAGAUGUUGGGUUAACUAAAGACAACUGCAGAUGCUCUAAUCUUGCAUAUCUUAAUCAUCCACUGUGUUAUUAUGAAAACUAGUAUCUUGCCCAUGCUAACUCUACGGCGUCAUUUAAGAACACAAAUCAACCAACAAAAAACAUAAUAACUCAACUAAAAAAUUAAUCUCCAAUAUAAUUGACCAAUCCAAAUUAAGCUUAACCCACCCCCACACAGAGAUGACAUUUUCUCCAUCCACACCAGAUUAUGCACCCAGAAAAACCCUCACAUGACAAACCACCGCGAUCCUACAGCUACGAACGAUUUGAGGCUUCAACGCACCCACCCAUCCUGUGGUACCGGCUCCUCUGUCACUUUGUCCCUAAGCCCGUGCUCUCUGUUCAAUUCCCAACUCCCACUCUAUUUCCCUUUUUUUCCGAGAAAACAAAAAUCCCACAAUAUCGCUCAUAUUUGUUAUGCAGAAAUCACGGUGGCCAGCUCGCUUUCGAGUUCAAAGAGGGAGCAGGCGGUGCCUUUCAUUGUGGUGUAGGUGGACGAGGCCGAGUAGGACAGGCAAGCACGGGUGCUGGAUAAGGCAUGAGGGGCAGGGACAGCCAGUGCAUCUCCAUGGACCUCGACUCCACCCGUCCACCGUACUGUUUUUUUUUAUGAAACUGGAGAGGCCGAAGCCUCUACAAAGAUUUUAUUAAGCAAAAGCAAAACAGCUAAGAACAACAAAAGGAGGAGGGCAAGCCCAGGCUCCGGGUUCAGGAAACAAAAAAAGAAACGAAAAAAAUGAACUCUAGCCAACUUAAAAUCCCAGAUUGUGAAUCCAUUCAGUAAACUGAAGCAAGAGCGAAGGUUUCACUCUAUGUUGGAGCAUCGUUAAUUCCUUCACAAGGUGCCUGCGGCAAUUUACCAAACUAAUUUAAAUCCCAUUGAAGAUUAGCUCAUUUCUCAUGUUCCAAAUUGCCCAGGAAAUCAGGAUGACUGUAUCCAUAGCAAAGGGAGAGGCCAGCUGAUCUCUUAUCUGGGAGAAAACCUCAGGAACAGAACUCUGUGUGCGGGAGCAGCGCAGUCUUCGCCGUCAUGGUGCCGGAUGGCUCUGCGGGCGGGCAGGGGUGGAGGAAGGCGAGGUAUAGCGCUCGCCAUCCCUUGAUUUCGCUGUCAAUAUCCCUACAGAUUGCCGGCAAAACCAGUCCCAUCCGGCGCCCACCAUGGCUGCCAAACUGCUACAUUACGAAAACGCAAUCGACUCGCAGGAUGAGGAUGAAACUGAGAUGGAGUGGGCUUAGUGCCGAAGUUCAAAGAUAAGUCUGCUGUGAUCGGCGCGGGCAUGAUCGAUCGACCAAAAAGCAGCGCCCAUGGCCCGUCAUGUGCUAUGCCGGUGUUGAUGAGCGUUGUGAUGGUUAGACAUCUGUCUUUCAAUUGCAUGGGAUUAUUUGUUCCCUCGGGCUAGCCUAUGGGCAGCAGUUGCAUUUGUUUGUGAACCUGGCAUUCUGCAUUUUGUUUAUCUGAGAGCAAUUGAAACCUGGCACUGACGAGGGGUUUCAGGUUUCGGCGAUGCUCUAAUUUGCAUCUAAAUUAUAUAUCCACUGUGUCAUUGUAAUACGUCUAGAUGUCCUUUCAAAUUACCCACAUCGAUUAUUAUGAAAGAAAAAUAUUAUUAGUAACACUUUUAAUUUGUAUAUAUAUAAAUUAUAUGCCACAAAUUAUUCACUUGUAAGUUUAUAAAAACCUCAUUUGUAUAUAAAUUAUCCAUAUUGAACUAGCACAGAUGAGGAUGCAUAUCACCUAUCCCUGAUACGGUCACCUCUAAUUAGAGACUUGGGUUCCAUAGGCUUGUCUGUGAUGUAUGCAACAUCAGAGACCUGGGUUCCUUGAGCCGGAAGUAAGACGAAUUGUCUUAUUUUCAGUGCUUUCCAUUGUUUUUUUUCGAAAACGUGCACUUAGCCCGUGUUGCUUUAAGGGAAGAAAGAGUUUGUUACACGGCUUGCUGGGGAUUAGGCGAGGUUUCUUUCCCAAGCAAGCGAGACACACGAACAGAGAGCACCGGCUGGAACGGUGGAGCUUUGAGAGGCGUGCUAAAGGAACGAACUAGAAGUGCUACACGGAGCGAAGCCACUAGGCAGAAGCUAAAGCAAAAAGAGGGGGUAAGCUUGGAGAACCCCGCCGCGAUCUAGUUAUCGCCCUCGGCCCGAAUUCGCAGCAAAACCCGAGUCGUGGUUGCGCAGACCCCAUCGAACGUCCGUCGGUUUCGCUCCUUCCAAAGUUCCCACGAAACAAGAAGGACGAGCGAGUCGAAUCCCCGCGAUAAAGCUCCUGGGACCUGCUUCCUGGCUACUAGCCACCAGUCGACUAGCGUGUCGGACUGCGAUGGCGCGGUGUGCUGUAGACCUACCGCGCUGAGGAUGCGGUACCAAACCUCACGUGUGAAAACGCAUGCGGCGAGGAGGUGGUCGCACGUCUCGUCCUCCUGGCCGCAUAGGAGGCAGUCCGCUUGUUGCUGCAGUCCGUGCCUCCAUCUCCGUUCCGCCGUUCACAGCCUCUUCCGAAGCGCGAGCCAGAAGAAGAAUUUUACUUUGGGAGGGCAGCACACACGCCAAACCUCACGUGCUCCCGCGAGCCCCGUGGUCCCAUGGAAGAAAGCGCGAUAAGCAGAUGCCGCAUCGUACGUUCCAUCAGCGCUCCAUCUCCAGAUGAACCUGUCGUCGACCCCAGGCUGUAGCUGAACCUCUUGCAGGACAUCCCACAACAUCAGGUAGUCGGCAAUCACAGCUGCCGUCGUCGCGCUAGGUCAAAUCAUCCUCAAUUGCAAAUUGGACCGAAUCGGAAAUGGUGGUGUACUACUGUAGUCUCCAGUGGUUAGUGACCAGGCAACCUUCACUCCAUGCAACCAGGAUCCCACACUAGGUUCCUUGAGGCAAAAGGAAGAUUAAUUUUCUUAUUUUCGUUGUUUUACAUCAUUUGAAUGCUUCAUAGUGGCUGGUGCAGUAAUAUUUGGUUAGCGUGAUGUUUCGACCAAGUCAUCUGACUUGGAUUUGUUAAUUGGUAGGGCGCUUGCAAUUGCCAAUUUCAAUGUAUCCCACAAAAUGUAGAGUUCUGAUGUGUAGCCUUUGUUGGUGAGAGUGAGAAGUUUCAAUUGGCCUACAGGUAGGAUACACAUAACAGCGAGAUCAAAAUGCAUGGAUGUGGCAGGAUAUACGUAUUAAUGAGAGCAAGAAAUAUAAUCUCAAUUGACAAACUGAAUGUAGCUAGCUGGCUGGGUUUCUUUGACAUAACACACGGUUACUUGCAUUUUCCUAGAUUUAUUAUUAUAACGUAGUUUUUUUAGUAGUAAGCGACGUCACACAACGAGACACGACACAACUUCGUCGAUCUUGACAUCUGCUGUCAAUUUUCGAAGGCGCUCAAAAUUUUGCAGACUAAAAAUGAUGGCAAAUAAAUGUAACAUCUACAACAUAGAUAGCAUGCAUCCACUAAGGGUUUUCCUAAUCACAUUUCCUGGACUGGAGACAUUAUUUGUAAUGGUAAAAAAAUAAAAUUAUUCCUAAAAUGAAGUUUCCCGUCUAUUCGUUUCGCCAAGCAUUCCUGAUUCAUCUGGAACUAUUAAUUUGCUGCCACAUAAUAAAUUGAAGUAAUGUGCAUGUUUUUUUCUUUUUGAGAAACUAUGUGCAAUUAGCAUUGCACAGCUGCGUGCCGGGACAACCAAUUAUCUUGGCCCUUUAAAGCACACACAAGAUUUAUGGGUGGUCUUGCCAGCGGUUCAUUCUUUUGACAAAAGAAAACACAAGAGUGGGUGGGAGUGUGCCUGUGUCCGACAGGAAGCACCCAUACGGUAUGUAGUCAUGUGGGAUUGGGAGGAAUCGGGUUCUUUUCCUGCGCUGAGAGAGUAGCAGUUUUUCAAUACAAGGCUGGAGAAGUUGAAACAUGAGUAUUAUCUUCAGGAGAAGGGAUCGCCUAUUUUUCCAAAGACUUCCCUAAAAGCGAAGAGUAUAUCAUAAUUUCCAAAGCCCCCACAGUGCAGCAGCACAAAACAUAUUACCUACUAAAACAGGUUUUGUUACUUAACGCAAUUGUCCUAUUGAAUGAAAAUCAGCACCUUAAAUUUUAUCUAGAGUUUAUAGAGAGACAACACCACAUCUCUGCUUCGCUACAGCGCAGUCAAAGAAAGGUGAAAACUUAUUCUGGUUCACUAAAAAAAAUAAACAUUUUCUUCUUAUAUACUAAGAUUGUCUCUCUCUUUUUAGAAAGCAACCAUAGAGAAACAAAUAAACUCGAGAAGGUAUCUUGAGACUCCAAAGCCGGAACAUGAAGAGGUAGCACCCCUCUGAAAUUGAUCACCUUAAGAGGAAUUGAGAAGAAUAAAAACCAUCAGAAGUAAACUACUACAUUAGGGAGUCUUCUUCACAAAAGAAACAAAUUUUAGAGGAUGACUGAACUACUUCUAACUAGAGCUUGAUGAACCUAUUAUCAACAUGCCUUCUAAAGGUACAUUUAAGAUUAGUUCUUGUUGACGUGGGAGGUGAUCCAGAUCACACACCAACAAGGAAUACAUGACCCUGAUUGUGCUAGAACACAGCAAACUGACGAAACUAAUCUAGAGAUCAGUUAGGUCAAUGCGGAGCCUGUUAUUGGCCUGAUAAACUCCCUAACUCCUGGAAGACCGGUUAGGUAGGGGCACGUCGAGGGUUUCCUAGGACUAGUAAGGCCUCCUAAACGCUGCCAAGUCUCGCAGGGAGACAUGAUGAACAACAAGGUAGAGAGUGGAGAGUGUAAAAUGGUGUAGUAGAUGUGUUUUUGAUUUUUGGAAUUUGGGAUCCUCAAUCUACCAUGAUCCUCUCCUAUAUACAGAGAGGGUGGUCUUAUUCAAUUAGAAAACAAGUCCAAAAUGCGUUCCCCAAGUUUUCCACGCCAAAAAUAAGUCUAAAACCGAUUUAGAAAUCAAUCUGGUUCGGAAUAGCAGGAAAAGUCGGCUCCCAACUCCCAAGUCGGCUAAGCUAGUUUUUGCAGGCCUCAGAACUGUGGCUUGCCCGACAUAGGGGAGAGUCGACUUAGCUAGCUAGGGAAGUUGGCUAAGCUGAUUGGGUGCAGGCGAGCUAGCCAAGCCGCCCCUGGUGAGCCAUGCUGGUUUUCUUCCUUCUUUGCAUGUGUUCUUUCCUUGUUUGUCACGCCAAAUAGUUUUCAAUACUUCUUUGGUGUUAAGAACUUGCUGGUGAUGUCUAUACUCCAUGUUGAGACACUUUUAAGUGUCAACAGUUCCAUCCCAAACGUUAGCGACUAUUCAAGACUUUUCUUUGACCAGGAUAUAAAUCUCCCAAAACUAUGUAGUUUGACUAGACAUACUUUAGCUAGUUAUCCAGCCAAGACUUCAUCUACUACUUGUAUUCUAUUUUCCAUAUAAAACUCAUUUUUGCUAUUGCCCACAUUAAGCCUUUAAAAAACUAUGAGGCCCCAAAGGUCAUUGGUCUACAAAAUAUAUUUGGUCUAUCGGUAUUGUAUUUGUGAUCAACGAACUAUCUACAGGGCGCUUAUGCCCAUCUAGAUCAUUUCUUCUAAUCCAAGAGGCUUGCAGACAAAUACUUAAGUGUCUUAGGUUGGGGAUACCAAGACCCCCAUACCCCUUCAACAUACUAUCAUUUUCCCAAUUGCCAAGUUAUGCUUGUGAUAAUUAGGAUUGUCGUUCCACAAAUAGUUUGUUAACUGAAAAUAAAGAACAACAUAGCCCACUUCAACAUAUAUACUAAUGCACGGAGCACGGGCACCGUUGGUCCGCUCGACCAAGCCACCACCGCAAGUGAUGCCUCUGCCUGCCUCUCCUGGACACCGUUGUUUCUCAUCCUGCCCAUGCAGGCACCAACUCAUCUUUCUGGUCCAAGCAGAAGGGCAGCUGCCGCCAUGAUCUCCCCCACGCGUUCACUGAGAGCUAGGGUUGGUGUCAUCAGAUCGGGUGGAGGUGAUGGCAUGGCACCCACCAACAGAGAGAGAGAGAGAGGUAUCUGCAGAGGAGAUGGCGCUCGCCAAAGCUCCGAGUUAGAGACGGAGAGAGGGGGGGAUCGAGGGAGGUGACAACAUCGAUCACAGAGAGUGAAUCGGGAAAUCGUGCGAGGGAGCACCUGAGCGGGGCAUGGAUAUAGUUUACUUUUUGGGACAGACUAACAACGAGCCUGUACUGGGCCUCCACUGAUUAAAUUGUGGUCCGGGCCAUGUCGUUCCAUGUGCGGAAAGAGCGGCCAAAGCACAGAUUGCUCCACCAUGUUGGACCGGGCCAAAAAUGCAGCCUUGGCCCAGUCGCGGAGCUAGAACAAAUUCAAAGAAGGUGCGCUUGUCUUAUGGGUGCAAGACUUUAUAAUUUAUGGGUGCAAAUAGGGUGAAAAUUUAACAUUUACCAUUGUUUUUUAUUUUUUUCAUGGCAGUGGUACAUGUAGCUCCGUCCAUGCUCGGGCCGGGCCUAUGGGCUGUGAGCUGUGUGUGCAUCUAUAUGGUUCAGAAUAGAGAUUGGAACAACGGUUCUCCUCUCAUAACCAUUUUGGAGGAAUCUAUGGUCUGAAUGCCCAUGAUUUAUAUUGUACACAGUUUCUUGCACUCUGAAUUGUGUAUGUUUUCCAUGGUUUUACAGUUAAAUUUCACGGUGGUAACACCCCUGUGAUGCUUGUCUUUUGUGUGCACUGGCUUUUUUGGUGAUGUGGAAAGCAUAAUGAAGUUUGAACCGAAGCUAAUGCUAUCCUCGCUACUUGAGAAUGAUUUUCUUUUAAAUAAAACUACCUGAGAUUGAAAACACCAUCGCACCAACGCAGUGCAAAAAUCAUUUGUCAUUGGUUACAGGAAUAAAUGUUUGGCCACACAGUUGAAUGCAGUGGCAGCAAAAACGUGCAGCGCACACGUGAGGUAGUGUAAUUAAUGGUCCUGAAUGCCAGCUACAUGUAUGAUUGCACGACGCAUAAAUAAACAUGACCUUACAAGAGAACACGAGCGUGUCCAUUUGGCAAGCAACAGCAACAGAUGACACACAGAGCCGCCCAAAGCGUGGAUGAGAAGUUGAGAAGUCAGGUGACUACGAUCUCGAGAGGGAGGGAGGAUGUUGUUUGUGCUAGAGCACUAUAGUUGAUGUGCUGAGUGUAUCAUGGGAUUGGAAGGCACCGGAAUUCUGGUGUUGUAUACGGCUUUGCGUCGAGGUGGCUGCCCAUUCAGAGUUUGCUGUUUUGCACCAUACAACUCCGGAUGAGGUGUCGUCUUCGUUUUGAUCAAAAUGAUCUUGUCCCGUAUCCUGGUCUUGCACCCGUCCACAAAAGUGAACUGUCCCACUAAACUAAAGCCGCGCAACUCAGGCAUAAGAAAACCACAAUCAGAAAAAUUUUCAACAACUCCAACGUAGCUAGCUUCAGGCCUCUGGUAAAAAUAUGGUGGUUUUUGAAGAUACAUCCUUAUUAGAAUGUCUUCUUUUUUGAGGAACAGCUAAAGCCAAGCCGAUACCUCAGUGUCAAGUCAAAAUUUUUGUUCUUCUUCCAUAUCUAUGAGCACUAUAGAAAUAUUAAAAGAGAUUACUCCCUCGGUCAAGAAAAAAUAUUUUCACUUCUUGGAGAGUCAAAUAAAUUUAAACUUGAUUAAAUUUAAGUACUAAUAUUUAUGAGGUUGAGUAAGUAUCAUCAAAAUAACUAUAAAUAUGUUUUCAUAUUAAACCUAUUUUAACAAAUAUUUAUUCAUACUAUUUUAUACAAACUUGAUUAAACUUAAGAAGGUUUGACUUGUCAGAUCAAAAGACUUGUUGUAUUUAAAAGUUACAAAUAAUAAAAUGUUACCUGCACUAACAAGUUAUCCACUCAUGUUAUACCUAUGUCGAUCAACACAUGCACAGCUAGCCACGUACAGUACACGAACACACACCCUAACCCCUCAACGGCUAUGCAUGCACACACUAAAAAAAUGGAUUUACUAUAUCAAUAAGAUCAUGCAUGCAUCAAUCAAAUCAAGGAAUAUUUUUUAUAUCUAAAACUUUCCUUAUUUAUCCUAUUUUCUAAAACAAGAAAAUAAAUAAAAAUAUAUUUCAUCUGACCAUCCGAUCGAAAUAAAUGGAUGGCUCACAGUUAUUUAGGAAUACCGCAGCAAAGUCCGAGAAAUUUAGCUUGCAUGAGCGUAAACAGGAAUUUUUGAAGUGGCAUCAUGUAAGCGCUUACGUAGAACACAUAGAUACGACCUCAUCAUUCAAGGUAAAUAAAUGAUCGAUUACAUGGAGCUGUUUGAUUUUCCAGACAAGGUUUCUGGCAAAGCCAAUUAUAUAUGCCUUUAUAAGUUGACAACAUUUAAACUCUUUCAUCAGGAUCUACAAAAAUAAGAAAAAAUGAAACAAUAAUUUGUUUUUGUUCUGAACUCCAAAGAGUCACCUUAUUAAAAAAAAAGAAAUUAGUUUCAGAGAAUGCAUUAAUUCAACAUGCAAUUCUAGCUUUUAGAAGUAAUUUGAGUAAAUUCUGCGAACUACGUAUCCAUGUGAACCCUCAAAUUAGUUUCUUCUGAUGAUGAAUCAUUCUUACCACAGUAACCAUCAGGGAAGAAAAUUGUAACACUGACGAACAGAACUGUUUGGUACCAUGGGCACAACUUGGACAAAAGAGUAGUCAUCUAAACCUAAUACAUUGUACAGCUCACCAAUAUGAAAUUCUCCAAUACAAGUGAAGCUCAAGUUUCGGUCACUUAUCCUUUUCACUACAGGAUUCUGAGACUUUGCCGAGUGUUCGGACACUCGGCAAAGGCCCCUCUCGCACUCGGCAAAGGCUUUACCGAGCGCCCACUCGGAAAAGGCCGCUCGACAAAGAAUUAAUCGGCAAAGAGAUUUUUUGCCGAGUGCCACGUGUCAGACACUUGGCAAAGAUAGAAAUGAAAAAAUUCCAAAAAAAAUAGGGAAAAUUUUUUUUAGGGGGAGGGCUGCCAUCAGCUAGCACCUCCCCAAUUUUUUCAACGAUUUUCCAACAAAAUUUGCAACUUUGCUGCAACUGAGAUUCAAACCUAGGACCUCUCUCACAAGCACCUUACUCCUUACUAGUACAGUGUCCGUGCUAACGCUACGGUUUUUUUCAAGAUGCACAUGCAAACAACCAAACAACGACAAUUUUAUACAGUUUAAGUCUCAUGCAACUAUAUAUGACCAUAUAUAUAAUACAAAAAACACUCAUGCAUAAUAAAGCAUAAUAAAUUAACGUCUCACAUAGUACAAUUAGCUUAUUAAAUUCAAAGCACAAGUCACAUUAACAUAAAAUUGAAAAGACCUAAAAAAAUCUAUAGCCUGGCAAUUGUACAAGCUAGGAUUGUAACCUAGCAAAAAGUUGAGGCGAGUUUCUCCGCAGCUAGCUAGUGCAACAUCAACUUAUGCUAGUGCAUUGAUGGUUCCAUAUACAAUUUCUAAAUGCCUGCACUCAUAAACCUAGUGUGACAAUACAAGAGGAUCUUCCUUUCUUAUUAUGUUUGUAGAAUGAUAUGUCAGUUCUUCUCAUUUCAAAUUAAGAAUAUCAUUUCCUCUUCAUUUGUCAAGCUCCCGCAUAUGGGCAUGGUUUCCUACAUCUGCCUCCACCAUGGCCAUGUACACCUGUUCACAAAUAUUAAAGUGUGAUAAAAAUAUAAAAUUAGAGCAAUAAUUAACACAAAUUGAAAUUAGUCUAUUUCAGUAUAGUAGUACACAAAAAUAGAGUCUAAUUUUAGUCGGGCGAGAAGAGAGGUCGUGACUCACCUUCGCAGCCUGAAAGAGAGAAGUCCUGCUCAGGAGAGGCGCCAGACUUGAAACCAGGUGAGGGCGGCGUCCGAAAAUCGCCCCCAACAGGCCAGCACACCCCAGCAGCCAGCGGAUGCACAUGCCCAAAAAUCGCCAGAGCACACAACAACAGGCAACAAAGUUAAUCCAUCCAAUAAAUAAAGGAGGAAUAUUCUAAUGUGCAUUUUUGUUUAAAAUUAACAAAACUCAAGCUCUAACAUGAAGCAUAACUGACUACAGCUAUAUUGGAACCUUUUGGAUCCUGUUUUACUAAUCAGAGAGUGAGAAUGAGUUGUUGACGGACAUGCAAAAGUGCAAAACUUUUUGAAUCUUGUUUGAAUUGACUGACGAAUUGAAGUAACAAAUAUCACCCAUGUUACUGCAAAUGCCUAGAGAUGAAGAACACUCCCAGGAUAGCAGUCACCUAUAGACAAUCAAGUGGAUAAAUAUAUUGAUCAAAGGAAAAUAGUGUGCUCUCUAGUUAAGCCUGUUUGAACAAUCAUGUCAUACUGUAAAUGCAAGAAACAGGAUAAUGGAAAAGUGAAGUAUUCCAUCCAGUAAUCAGUGAUAUAUAACAGUUAGUUAGCUAAACCUAUCUAGUACACGUACCAAAUUAGAACUGAAAUAUAUGCAAAGUAAAACGACAAAAUUAAAUUGCAUAAAAAAGACAAUAUAAUUGUUAUAUUUGAUCAAAUGCUUAUUGCAACUGUUGCUAAUCCCCAAGACUGUUUCGAGAUAAGAACAAAACUUUACUAAUAGCAUUCUUCCAGUACAAUAGCAAAAAAAGCUCAGUGCUGCUCUGGCUAAGAUUUCGUAGUUCCAGAUUAGGCACUCACACCGGUUAUACAUCUUUUUAGCAUAUAUCCACUUGGAGAUGAACUUACAGGCACAUUGAGAAGCUAUAAACGCCUUGUGAAGAGAGGUGAAACCAUCCUGUAUCAGCAACACUUGCAUAGUUAAAUCUGCCUUCCCUUUGUCAGAUACGAAAGAGAAAUGGAAAUCAUAAGCACGUAACUUAUUCUACCAAGUUGAUGCCAACACAACUGUCCCAGAAGCAAUGCCAUCGCGUAGUUAUGAAGUGGAUGCCAUUUCCACUGCACCAAACAAUUCAUCAAGAAUUAGAUUUAGCAUCCAAUAUUUUAGCAGUUAAAUCAAUGCAGCAUUUGAUGCCUGACAGAAUAAGAUACCUCAAAUUUUCGGCAGCAAAUCGAGAAAUGUAUCCUCAUACACAAAAGAAAGAUGGUUCCUAAAUAUUAAGAUAGCCAGAUGACCUUAACAGAUGAUAUUCUAGUACGUCACGUAUCUCGUGCUGAUCCAAGAUAGUCAUUUCUUUGGGCAUUAGGAGAACCUCGAUUUCCAGGCAAACAAAAACUUAGUUGUAGUGUAGAACACAAAGAAGUAGAGCAGAUGGUCUCUCAAAGAGUAGACCGAUAAGCAGCAAAGAAGUGUAUAUGAAGUCUAUAGAAACACUAAUCUUGUGAUGAAUUGAGAGGAGAGAGACCAUACCUGGAUGCACAUCUUCAUGGGGAGAUGCAGAAUUGGAGUAGGUUUUGGAUCCAAUAGCAAUGAUAGAUUGAAGUGAAUAUUUGGUUUGGCACUGAACUUAUUUCACAUUAUGUGUCAAAUAUAAAUUUAAUAGACUCGUAAAUUGGCAUACCUUGCAUCAAAAUUAAGUAGGAAACAUAUGAUAUUUGUGUAAGCUAUAAGCUGUGCUAGUAAUGAAACUGUAACCAGAGUACAUGACAACUUCAAACCAUCAAAGUCAAGGAGGACCACAUAGGAUCUUAAAAAACAUGCAAAGGGAGGUAUAUCUUUUUUCCUCAUUCCUUCUAAUUUUUCUUUUAUAUAAACAGACCCCAAAAGUGAGUACUGAUACAUAGCUCAAGCAUUCAUCAUAGUCAUGCAUUGAAAUUCAGAACAAUUAGAACAAACCAGGAUUAUUGAUCAUGAGAUAGUUACUCAUCCCAUCUGAAUGAACUUUUGGUUUCAGUAAAUUGAGUUGUAUAUAGAAUUCUAUAGUACCUCAGUUCACAAAUAAAAGGAAUUCUGACAUUUGCAACACAUGAAUAUUAUUUAGUAUUUUUUUAUACCAGUCAAGUUGAACCCUGGCACUGGUACAUAUUGAUUUAGAAUGGAAAAAUACUCUCAACAUCUAAUCCAUUAGAUGGUAAAAAAAAAGAAGUGAAUUCAGAUAUGAAAAAACUUGAGAAAGAAAAAGGCUUCAUAUUUACGAAGACUGGAAGCUCCUGCUGCGUAUAUACUUGAUACAGGAAGGAAAAAAUUAACACACCUGCACAAGCACACAACAGCCAUCACGGACUAAUCAUAGACUAAUGCAGCUGUGCAAAAUUAGUGUCCAAUUAAGGGGCUAGGGUUUAGAUUAGCACAUGGAAGGAGGGGAUUUUGCAAAUCUCGGCCAAAUUUGAGCUUUCCCCAAAUUCAGAAACCCUAAUUUGCUCAAUCAAAACUAAAUCCCAAACCAAGUCAUGAAUGAGUGGAUUAGUACCUGAUCCAGCAUCAGUGAUUUGGUGCCGCCGCUGCCAGGAGUUCCCCACUUCCCCUCUUGCACAUGCGUCCGCGCGCUGCCGACAUCCUCCUGUGCAGGCCGCCGUGGUGAGACCGAGGUCUGGCCUGGUCGCUGCUUCUGCCUUGGCUGCCGGCGUGAUGAAGGCUCACCACACCAUAGUGGAUCCACGACGCUGCGCCAUGGGCCGCCGCAUGAACAAGCCGCCGUGGCCGAUGUCGCCGCCGUGCGACUGAAGAGCACUGCACACGCUGUCUUUAGGAAGCCGGCGAUGAGCUGCUUGACGAGGCUUGGUCGCCGGUGGCCUGGCGUCCUUGCUUGGUGGCCGGCGGCCUAGCCUGGUGUCCUGCUAGAGCUUCGUUCGUGUAGGAGAGGAGUUGUUCGCGAGUCGUGCAGGGAGAGGAGGAGUCGCGAGGAGGCGCGCGUGCAUUAGGGAGAGGAGUCGCUGAGUGCGUGGGGAGAGGAGCCGCGCGGGACGGGCUGAGGCCUGAGGGUGAGGGAUGAGUUUGAUCCCAGCGUUUAUGACCGUUGGAUGGAAUUGAGUCAGUGGAAUGAGAGAUUAGAGUUAAUCUCGUCCCUUAAUUUCAAAAGAUACAGCUUUCUGGGUGUAUUUUUUUGGGUGUAAUUAGUGUAGCUUAUGACUGUAAUAGUAGGUUAUGGGGUACAUUUAGCUAAGUUCAGAACUGGUGGAUUAUAUAGUAGUGGAGAUCCACUGCACUACACCAUCACUUGUGUUUAUAUUGUGUUUUGGUUCUUCAUAUAUUAUACCAAAUCACAUGUAAAUUCAUAACUUUUUGAGAUCUAUAAUUUUCAUUUAGGAAGUUUCUCCAUCCGAGGUCGUUUACAAAAUUUGAAUUUCAAAUUUGAGAAAUUUAAACGUAGUUUUUGCAUGACAACAUGAUUUCAAAUCAAAAAGUUAUCAGCUACAAAGUUUCAUAACUUUUCAAGACCUACAAAGUUUAUUUAGGCAGUUUUUUCAUCUGAGGUAAUUUCAGAAAAAUCAAAUUUAAAAAUUUUUAAAUAAAGACGCAGUUUGGAAUGACAAGAUAAACUCAAAUCAAAAAGUUGUCAACUAUAAAAUUUCAUAACUUGUCAAGAUCUUCAAAGAUUAUUUUUGUUGUUUGGUCAAACUAUAAGAGAGAGAUGUAAAAUUUGUGAACAAAUAUUUUCAUUUUGUCAAAUGAAGAAAUAACCAAAAUAAAUAUUAUAGAUCUUGAGAAGUUAUAUAACUUUGUAGUGCAAAACUUUUUGAUUUGAAUUUGUUUAGGGCUUCAAAAUUUGAUUUGAAAUUUUUCUUUGUCGAGUGUUUUUUUUAUAUUCGGCAAAGAAGGUCUUUGCCGAGUGUCAAAAAAACACUCGGCAAAGCGGGUUCUUUGCCGACUGCCAAAAAAACACUCGGCAAAGAAUGUUUUUGCCGAGUGUCUGACGUGGCACUCGGCAAAGGCCAGUCUUUGCGAGUGCCUGUCCUUGGCACUCGGCAAAGGGUCGGGCGCUCGGCAAAGCGCGAGUUUCCUGUAGUGUUUCUUGUGUUCUUGUAGCCUCAAGGGAUCCAAUGAUCAUAUAUCUGAACUAGUUCUACCGUUACAUUACAAAAAUACAGAAAUAACAAUAUCUUAACACAAUACUUAUACUUAAGAGAGUUCAGAAAUAGAAACAUGAAACUUGUGAUGCAUUGCAUCAAAGCGAGAAAGGACAUACAACUUAUAAUUCCUUGCUAUCUACUAUGAAUCGGUUCACAAAUGUAUUCUGGAGUUUGAAAUCUAUCUCGAAUCAUGAAUUAAACAAAACCAUCAAAAUUAUCAAGAGCAACUCCAACAGAAAUACUUCAAAGAGGUAUUCGCCCUGGUCGCUUGAAUCAAGUCCACGCAGCUCAUGCUCGCCAUUGAUGCACACUGGAGUUGAUUAGUGCAUCACAAGGAUGUUAAAUCAGUGUUCUCAAUGGUGAACUCUAGGAGGACAUCUAUGUCGCUCUCCUAGCUUCAUCAACGAGAACAACCCCGAUAAGGUCCUGUGACUCCACAAGGCGCUGUACGGCCUGUGCCAGGGCCUGUGCACCUGAAACACCAAGCUGGACUACAGGCUGUUCUCCCUCUGCUUUUGGUGCAGCAAGAACGAGCAAGGGGUGUACACGCACGGAAGUGCCUCCAGGCGUUUGAUCGUCAGUCUCUACGUCGACGACCUCAUAGAUCACAGGAGGGCAUGACGCUGAGUUGAGAGUGUUCAAGGCUGAAAUGAAGGUGCAGUUCUUGAUGUGUGACCUAAAGAUGCAGGUGGGGCGGCGUUGGGCAGCCCACCCCACGUCCGCAUCAACUGCAACUGUUAUGUGGGUUGGAGCGGCAGCCCAAGUCACGCCACUCUCUGUCUACGGGUUACAGUGUCAGCCCAUAAAGUGCUACAUCGCAAGACUUCCUCGUCCAUCGUUGGCUCAAAGGCCUAUUUAAAUGAAAUGACUAACACAUCAUGAGCUUUCUGAAUCAGUUCAACUGGAAUGCUAAAACUUCAGGUCAUACUUCUUGCAAGCUGAGCAACAUUCAGUUUGCAGUUGAGUAUGUGAUAAUGUCCUCUUGUAGAUACGUAGAAAAUGCAAGCACAGGCAAACAAUCUCUGAAUGCCACACAAAGAGAAUAAUGAAAAUCGAAAUCAAUGUAAAAACAAAGACAAGCAUGCAUUUACUGAUUGAACUAUUUGGCUAUACAAACAGCAUCAGUGUGGGGACCUUUAUAGGACAAUGGUUAGUCAUUUAACCCCUGUAGAAUUAAUCUCAAAAGAAGAUGAGAAAUCCUGGCUGAAGAGCAGCUGUCCACAUAAUCUGGAACUCAGAAAACCAAAAUGUAAUUUUCCAGAUGCCCAAAAUAGAGCUCUGUAGAUGUAUUUAGGACCCAUUUGGAAUGCAGGGAAUUCACAGAAAUCAGUUUAAUUUCACAUAAAAACAUAGAAACAGGUAAAACAUCCCACAUUCCGAACAGGGCCUAAAUUCUUCAGAAGGAUCAUCAUCCUUGUGCAUGAUUGAACACAUAGGCUGCACAUGUACGAAUAUGCAGGAAAUACUGCAUGAGGCAAUCCUUGUGCCUUCUUGUUGAGCUGCUCUAAAAGCCUAUUAGCUUCCCUGAGGUCCUCAAAGGCACCAUUGCCACACCUACUGUAGGCAUCUACGACUUGUUCUUGAAAGUCUAUAGCAAGUUUGUAGCUGCAACCAAAGUAGCGUUAAAUGUAAAAAUGGUAUCUAUGAUGUAAAAACAGUUACUCUACAAGGCAUCAUGCUACACAUUUCCACAAAACAAAUGUUGCAUUCAGUUGAAUAUAUUGACAUUAUAAAACGCAAAGCCACGGUGAGUCACUAUACUAAAAUGUGUUUACAGCAAAAUAAAAGUGAUUAUAAUUACAAAAAUAUGGGCAAAGAAGUUAGGAUCACAGGUGCACCAUCCAGGCUCUAUUAUAUUCAUGUGGGUAUUAUUUAGAGCAUUGCAUUGACAUUAGUUUCUAGGUCAGUGGGUCAUUUCUUAGAACAUUAGAUUUUUUCAUUGGGUUAAAAUCCAUCCUCACAUGUAUGUAAAUAACAAAGGAUUGUAUCUAAUCAGUUAAUCAACAUCCUAUUACAGUAUUACCCUAUACCAAUUUUAAACUCUAUUCAAUCAUUCUAUUCUAACAGAUAAACAGGCAAGCAGUGGUCGAGUUUUUUUAACAGAUAAUUAGCAAAUAUAAGGUUAAGGUCAUGUAGGCCAUAAAAUAUUGGGCAAUGACUCAAUGGACACUUGGAUAGCACAAGAGCACUAAGGCCCUGUUUGGAAGCAUCCAGCCAACUAUUAGCUGCUAAAAUUUAGCUGGGGUGGAUCCAAACGGCCUCAGCUAAGUGUUAGCUGGGCACUCAGCUAACAACUACUACCUCUGUCCCAGAAAGGGUUUGAAGUACAUGCAGUAAAUGUUUGUAAGAUGUAGAUAGAUGAGCAAAUGAAACUGAGCUUAAAUAAUCUUCGAUGAGAAGAUGCAUCCAAGUUAUUACCUUGUUCAAUGUUAAAUUCUAAAUUCUGCAGCACUGAAGAUAUAAUGUUAAAUUCUAAAUUCUGCAUUUUCUAUGCCACUGCCACACAGGAUAUAAUGCACUAAUGCUAAAUUCUGCAGACAUAAAAGGCAUUACCUUGUUCAAUGUUUCUUCUAUCUAAAUACAAUCUUCAUCAUCCGCAGCUAUAAUUCCAGCUAUAUUAUCAUGCGUGCUAUCUAAAAUUUAGAAAAGGGAUAAAAAGUUAGUUUACAUCAUUAUUUUGCAUACAAACUUAUUAUGAACAAAAUAAUGGUAUUAAGAUUUACCCUCCGAUCUUAACCAAUCCUGAAGACAAAUGAGAGCUUCAAUUGUUUCACUCUUGAGCCUGCUUCUAUAAUCACUCACUAUUCUCUCUCCGGUAGAAAAUGCAGACUCUGAGGCCACUGUGGAUGCAGGUAUAGCUAAAACAUCACGUGCCAUGCAUCCAAGUACUGGAUAUCUUGUUGAGUGUAUCUUCCAAUACUGCAAGAUAUCUAGAUCAACUGUCACAGGCACUUUUUCUUCUUCGAAGUACUGAUCCAACUCAUUAACUUUUUUUUCUCUGAGCACUUUGAUGUUGGGCCCAAUCUGCCCAUGGGUCUAACUCAUUCAGCUCAACAUUACUGACACUAUGUUCCUCCGCAAUGACUGAGUCACCAACUUUUAAGGAAUAUUCAGCAAAUAGUUUUCUAAAUGUCAUCUCCACUUUAGAUAGAUAUCUGAAUGCUUCUAUCCCAAAUCCUUCCUUUAAGCGAAACUCUAGAAAUUUCAACUUAAAACGAGGAUCAAGAAUAAUAGGAAUGCAGAUAUUUAAAUACGACAAAUCCCAAUACUUCUUCAAUUUUUGCUUCAUCUCAUGAACCAUUGUUCUUAUAACCAACUCAGAAUUUGAGGCUUCUUUAUCUAAAUCUUUCUUUACCUCCCAGAUUUGAUGAAAGUAGUGAAUUGAAGUUGGAUAAUUUGAGCCAGAUACUUUCAUAGUGGCAUCAUAAAAUGGUUCUAACAAGGUACAAAGCUUCUUUGCCAACUUCCAAUCCUCAGUCGAAGGCUCAUGUAUGUACUGUGGGUCAUUUUGCCUUAAAGCUUCAUAUGCUCUCCUAUACUUCAAAGAUGUCACAAGCAUAUGGUAAGUUGAAUUCCACCUGGUGACAACAUCGAGUGGAGGGCGUUUCUCAACAGGAAUAGAACAUUUCUCAACCAUAAGUUCAAACCUUUGUUUGCGAGCUUGUGAGCUUUUCACAUAUCUAACACUCUCUCUAAUGUUCUUGGUAGCACUACUUAUGGCCUUAAAACCUUCUUGGACGAUGAGAUUAAACACAUGGGCUGCACAACGACAAUGAAACAACUUCCCUUUGCGAAGGAGUUGACCCUUUGAGACAAGGUUUUCUUUUAAAGUUGUCACAAAGUUAUUAUUUACUGAUGCAUUAUCCAAUGUGAUAGCAAAAAGUUUGCUUUCUAGAUUCCAAUCUUGCAAGGUUUCCAACAUAGUAUUGAAUAGGUUCCAACCAUCAUGCGAGGUCUCAACUAAAGCGAACUUUAUGAUCUUCUUAUGUAUCUUCCAGUUCUCACUAAUGUAGUGACAAGUCACACAUAAAUAGCCCAAUGUUUGGUUUGAGGUCCAUAAAUCAGCAGUAAGAGAAACCCUAGAGACCGAAUUUUGUAGCACAUGCCGUAGGACUAUUUUUCCUUCCUCAUAUGAACUAAUGCAGUCAGACCUAAUAGUGGUUCUAGAAACUUGUUUGAACCACGGAUUUAGAGCAGCCACAAAUGUUCUGAACUUUGGAUACUCUACCAGACUGAAAGGCAACUCAUGCAUCACUAUUAAGUUCACUAAUUCUUGGCGAGCUACUUGUUGAUCAAAUUUCCAAUUUUUCAAGGAAGCAUCAGUUAAGGGCACGGUUGAACUCAGUUGAGAGACCAUUUCUUCUAACCUAGCCUUUCCCUCACAAACUUUGAUGUGUCUACCACAUGCACUUGUACCAACAUCUCUGGUUGCUUUGAACACUUGGUUGAAAUGAAUGCAUUGAGCUUCUACUAAGAUAUCAUUAUCAUAUAUUGCCUCAAAAUGCUGCCAUAUAUGUGAGGUAAGUUUGCGUCUUUUACUUCUAUGUGAAGAUCCUAAUGGUUGGCAUAGAAAUAAUAUUGUAAGACAAAUAGUAAAACAAAUAAUAUUCUAAUAGCAGCAGCAAUAGUAAAACAAAGAAAAUGGUAGCGAAGACAUAACAUCAUCACUUACCAGCAGCAGCAGUAGUUCUUUUUCCGAGAAAAGGAGAUAUCGGCGAUUGUGAUUUCGAGCUUGCUGUCCCUUGUGACGACACUAUCACUGUUGGUGAGCUGAGGUUGGCAGAUAACAACAUUUUCACGCCUAUUGACCUUGCUGGUAUAAGUGGUGACAUGGUUACAACUGGCGACUUCAACCGCUUUGAUGGCAAUGCAUUUGCUUGCUUCAUAGCAGGGUCCUUUUGCUUAGCCAUUGAUAAGGAUGUCGUCCCCCCUUUGAUCUGCAUAGACAACAUUAUCAAUUAAUCCACAACUACUUGCUUCACAGCAGGGUCCUUGCUGUUGUUACUGCUCUCUCUAGAACUACUGCAGGUUUCCAUUUCACUCAUACAAGCUAAUUAAUAAGCUGCAAGAUCCAAACCUGUUGCUUCCUCUUAGCCUUCGCUUCAAUGUGUCGCUGAACCCGACCUGCAAGGGUGGUAGCAGCAGCUGUGGAUGAGUCACCGUGUCACUGAUCCUGAUUUGCAGGGGUGGCAGCAGCAGCUGUGGGCGACACCACAGAGGAACUCGGCAGUUGAGGAACAAUGAACAAGGAAAAUCUUGUCGGUCGAUCGGGAGAAUAGAGGCGUAUGGCUUCGUGGCUUGACAAGUCAGCACCGGCGCCAGAAGGUGGCAGUGGCAAUAGUGAUGCCAGUGAAUGCAUCGACAUCACUGGUGCAUUUGCCUGCUUCACAUCAGAGACCUUCCGCUUAGCUGUUGAUGAGGACGCCUUUUCCUCUUUAAUCUGCAUAGACAAAAUUUCAAGUUAGUAACAUUACCAUAUUUCGACAGCUUCGCACCAUAUUUCAAAACAGCUGAAUUGAAAAGCUUAAUAAAAUUCUUUCACCCCAUCGGAGAAAGAUGAAAAGGAAAUGGAAAAGCUUAAUAUUCAGUACAAUUCUGUACUAAUAUAACAUUCAGUACAAUUCUGCUAUAGUUACAAGUGUGCUAUAAUACCUAAAAAUUAGCAAACAAAUGGUUCAAAGAAGAGGAAUCAGGCAAAUAUUUUAUUGUCGUCCAAACAAGGAAAUCUCAACGAUGUAGAUUGUAGGAGUAGUAGACAUCUUCGUUUAGAAAACACUAGCCAUUUUCAGCGGCACAUGAACCUGCUCUACAUUCAGCAAGUAACAAAAAAAAUUCUCAUAUUUUGGCACCCAGAUCACACUAGCGUGAAUCAAAUCUCAUGUCGGUGGAGGGAAAAUCACAGAACCAGCACGUCCGCGGUGCCGCGCGCACAUCAGAGAAGAAAAUCCCAUCUUUGCCGUAGAGGAACAACCACGGAACCCCGGGUCCUCCAAAUCCCAACCAAAUCCGACGCCACUUGCGCUUCUCCAUGAACCGCUGCAGCAACGGUUUCCUCGACACCGGCAGAUGGUCUACCGCGGAGACCAGGCCAUCUGCGGGAGAUCUGAAGGAGACAGGUAGCCACCUACCAUUCCUUUCCUGGACGAGAUUUGGGCAGUGGAGGCAGCGGCGGCGCCGGCGCUGGUACUGGAGGUGGCGGCACCACUGGUGCAGGUGAAGAAGGCAGCAGCGCCUGUAUUGGAGGUGGAGGAAACAGCAGCGACGCCAUUAGUGGAGGUUGCGGUGGCAGCGACGGUGGUGUCGGGAAGCCAUGAGACCGGCGGCGGCGAUGCUAGCGAUAUUGAAUGCCUCGUGAAUUCGUGAUAGACGUGGGUUACCCCUGGAUUACGCGGUCCAAAUGCUUAGCCCACUUAGUCUUAGUGGGUUAGGUUUUCAACCCCAUAUGGGCUGGUGGUGCAGACAGCCCAGCGGGCUGGAGCGGCAGCCCGCCCCACCUUGCAUUACCUCGGCCGCUGGGCGCUAGGAGUUAAUACUUCAAACAAAAUGUGAGCCAUUCAUUUUUUUAGUUUUUUAAUUAAUUAAUUAACCUAAAAAAGGAGAUAGUAUCAAAUCUCCUCAUCAUGGAAGAAACAGAAACGGGGGAGCAAGCCCUUUCCUUUUGGUCCAUGUGGGAUAUGGCAGCGGUUGCAAUAUUUACCAUACUUAGCUCAUCAAAUUAUGCCAAUUAAAUUGUCCCACGUAUAUAUGUUAGGUCAAAUCUAAAUUAUAUGACAUGCAUUAUGCCAUAUUCAAGACUUUAUCUAAAAUUUUCCUUAUUUAUCUUAUAUUAUAAAAUAAAAAUUUAAUAAAAAUAUAUUCUAUCUAUUACUUUUUAUAGAAACUAAUAGAUGAUCAUAACCAUCCAAUCUAAUUAAAUCAAAAUAUAGCUUAUAGUUAUUUGCGAGUAUCACAAUUAACAAACUCUUGACAUUUAUUUGUCAUGGCCAUCAUUAAUUCAUAGUAAUACUCAAUAAUGUUCUAUCUACUGUGUUUGACAUACGCAUGGCAUUAGGCUAAGUUUCUAAUGAGAGCAAACUAUAUUCCCAGUAAUUGAGAAGGCAUUUUGGGAACUAUAUAGCCUUUUUAGGAUUAGAGAAGAAAUAAAGUUUGGAAGCAACACAAUGUUAGGGCAUGUACAACCCAGAGACAAGGUGUCAUCUCCAAGUGCCUCGAAUUAGAUGUACAGACAGCUAAAAAGACAAAUCAUACAACCAUAACCAUAGACAAGGGUCGUGUGCAGCUGUUUAAUGUUAUGCAUGUAGCCACAAGAUCAAUCAUGACUAUUAUUUUGUGUACCACCAUGUUGUUAUUUGAUAUAUAAUAGACCAACACACUAGCAACAUUUAUGGCCAUUGAUCAACAUAUCACAUGACCGGAUUUGCCAAUCUGAACCAAAAAGCAAGCUGCUCCAAAUUGAACUGAAACUUGACAGGAAUUGCAUGUAUAGAAAUACAAUGGCAAGGAAGCAACGUGGAUAACUGCAAUCACUGAAUGUCGUCCUUCAAUUCCUCUCCAAGCUCCCUUAUAGUUUCUUCUAGCAAGGUAGAUGAUAGCAUCAUAGAUAAGCCUUUUGAUGUACAGUGCAGCAAACUUCAGAUAACAGUAUAUGGAAAAGAUGACAAUAAGCUUCAACAUAUCUGUUUAGAUAGUUUCAACAAACAGGUGGAAAAGAUGGCAGCAGAUAGUGCACCAGACAAAUUAUAAAGUUUCAGAAAAAAAACAUGCCUUCAGAACAAGUACAGUAAGAUCAGCGUACCUAUUUAGAUAGUUUCUGGAAAAAAGGGGAUGAUACACUAAAUAGGAUGAUAUCUACUGAAAAUUAGUAGCAUUACCACAUAUAAAGGCACAUUUCAAAGAGCAUUUUAAUUGACAAACCUUCAAAUCAUCUAAUAUAAGGCACAUAUGCAUUAGGCCAGGAGCCUGAUUUUUCUGCUGAUCAAAUUCAGACAAAGUUUUACUAAACUAGGCAAAUAAUUGUCUACUAUCAGAUAAUAAGAACAUUUCUGAUAUAGCUGUUGCCACUAGUACGUGUUGAUGUCAAAAGAUAAUUGUCAACAAGAGCUAACACAACGAGAUUAGAAACUAGAGAUGAUUGAACCAUGCUGUCGAAGUUGGUGAAGGGAGGAAUGGAAUGAGAUUACCAUGAUUCACUGUCGGGCGCAUCCCACCAUGCUGCUGGAGUUGGAGUUGGUGAUGAGGGGAAUGGAACGGGGAAGCCACCUCCUUAAGAUCCAUCUAUGGAGGAGGCUUCCAUCACCAAACUCUUGCUUGCAAAAGCGGCGAUGGGUGUUGGCAUUGUGUGCAGGCAAGAAACAGCAUGGUGGGCAAACGCCACCACCACCGCCGCUCAGUCGUGCCCGCCAUUGAUGGUGCAGACCGGCUCUUCAGCCCCUAUAGUCAGCCGCCGCGACCAAGGACUGGAACCGCGCCCUCGACGCGCCAAAACUGGAAUUGCACGUGCACACACUGGAUCCAUGUCCUCAGUUGGAGACGCUGCCGACCCGUACAACGGUGCUGAAGAAGGAGUCGCGACCUCGGGCAACGGUACAUCCCUGUCGUCUCGUGAGACGACGCCAACCCCGUCCCUAACCAUCGGGGGGGGGGGGGGGGGGGGUGUUCUUUGUGAAAUUGACAUCAAGGAGACAGGAUCAAGAGACCUGUUGUUUAUGCCCUUAGCAAACACAGGUAGUUCACACAUGUGAAUGCCGCAGAACUGCACGGACCAAUAAAUCGUCAUGAUCUUAAAGGCAUUCUAUAUUAAAGGGCUCGAGGGUGUGUCCAUCAGCGAGACAACAUAUAUACAUUACAGCCUUUAUGCACAGGAUGAAGAGUAUGUGUAUCAUGGGAUUGGGAGGCACCAGGAUUCUUAGCUACAUGAGAGUGGAGGGAAGUCCCGGGCUGUCCAACCAGUGCAGCUAAGCUUUAUGGUCCACAGCAGCAAGAUCUCCCAUCACACUGCGUCAAGUCAUGUUGGUCUCCCUUCUGCUCACUGUAAUGCUCGGCUGCUUCGGUAGUCGGUACAUGUCGUCCAACCUCUAAAUCAGAAGCAAACGAUUGAACAAAAUUAUCUAGGGCGGUGACAUUUACAGAUCUCAUAUUAGGUAGCAAGAUUUCCACUACCGGAAUCCCCUUGAAUGCCGAGUGUCCGCGAGUUUGCCAAGUGUUGAAUAUGUUCAAAAUUCAGAUGCACAUUAUAAAGGCCGACUUCUGAUGGAGCGAAGCGGAGGUCCGUUGCCGGAGGCUUGGGUAAAUUAGGGUUCCACCAAAUAUAUGAUCUUGUAAGCCGCCGCACGUUGUUGUAACCCAACUCUUGAUAAUAGUGACGAGUGUUUGCUGACUAGCGCCCGUGGUUUUUCCCCUUCGCAUUAGAGGAGUUUUCCAUGUCAAAUCUUGUGUCUCCGCUGUGUUUUGAUCUUGUCUUCUUCGUUGUUUAUCUGGCGUCAUUCACAACACCAAGUGCAUUCUGUCGUGCACUCGGCAAACAACCUCUUUGCCGAGUGCCUGGGAAGAACACUCGGCAAACAAAAAACACACGACAACAUUGAUGUUUGCGGAGUGCCACAGGCCAGGCACUCGGCAAACCCGAGUCUUUGCCGAGUGCUAACUCCAAGGCUCUCGGCAAACUGUUGGUGGGGCUAACUAUGUCAUCUCUUUGGCGAGUGUUUUUGUAUAGCACUCAGCAAAGACAAAUUAUUCUGAGUGUUUUUUUCCUAGCACUCGGCAAAAAAAAAUUAGCUUCUGUCCUCCAAACUUUUUAUGCUCAGCUUGUAUAGUGCAAGAUACUUCAUGUUUCAAUAUGAUUAAUUUAUCGAUCUAUUUACUAUAUUUAGUUGAUUUAUUUCAUUUGAUUGAAUUUUUGUUGAUAAAUCAAAUUUCAACUACGAGUGAUUCGAAUAAGUGCUUAAAAUGAAUCAAAAAAUAAUAUUCAUGAUAUUGAGAUACUAAUAACGCUAAAUGUAGGGAAUGAAAGAAAAUUUCAAAUAUCUUGCUCACAAAACUUGACGAGCAACUAGGGGUCAAAUGAUUUUUAAAUUAUAUAAAAUACAAACAAAGUUCAAAAAUCAUGAGAUUUGUCAAGAUGUCUUCACAUCAUGCGUGCGGGCUACGGUAAAAAUUUGAUAAUGUUUCGCACAAGUUGUCACGUAGCAUGCUUACAAACGGAAGCAUCUCCGAACAAGACUCAUAUACUUCGGACACUAAUGGUAAUAUUUUGAGGCAAUGCAAUUUGUCGAGUUGGGAUUUUAAUUCGAAACAUUUUCCAUAGGUAAUAUAUGACAUAGAUUGAUUAAUGCCAGGUUUUGGUAUUUUUUGGAUUCUCUUCGUAUUUUUAUAAUUAUAACCACAUAAAAUUAUAGAUUUUUAAUUACAUUGAAUUUUAGAUAUAACCGUAUGAAAUAAUGAUAAAAUAUUCACAGAAGCAUCCAAUAUACACUUACGAGUGAAUUUCACAAGAUAUAUAUAAUUUAAAUUUGCCAAACACGUUGUCGAAAAGAUAUCAAAAGGGAUUUAUUAUUUUUUUGAAAAAAAUAUUUGUCGAGUGCUACACAAGGCACUCGGCAAACAAUAUAUAUUCUUUUACAAAAAGGUUUGCCGAGUGCCUCCGCUAUGGACACUCAGCAAACAAUUUUCUUUCUUUUUAAAAAAAAUGUUCGUCGAGUGUUCUAGAUCGCGCACUCGGCAAAAAAAUAUUUGCAAAAAAACCCUAGUGCCGCCCACCAUCACAAUUUCGCUUUUUUUUACCGAAGGUCAUGGCGGCACUCGGUAAAAUUUGGCUUUGCCGACACAUGGUUUGCCGAGUGUUGUAUGCCGUGGGCGGCACUCGGCAAACUGUUUGCCAAGUGUCUUUUGGCCUUUGCUGAGUGCCUGUGGCACUCGGCAAACAAGCCAAUCCAGAGAAGUUUAGCUGAGGGAGAAUAAUAAGGGAAAAUAAAAUGACCUAAAAAAUUUGUUAGUGCCUGGUCGCUUGCUCAACGUUUGCAUUCUUCGUAUCUUUGAUGAUCCACCACAGUACAUGGCCCUGACCUUACGUUGUCCCUUGAAGAUAUGGGCCUAUCCUUUGUUGUUGGAGCCUUGCACACGCGUGAUCAAACUAGUACUAGUGCAUAAGAAUGCAUAAUGUCUCAUUAAGACAUUGAGAGAAUUUUAAAUGAUGAAUGAAGUAAGAAAAUGAGAGAAAAUAUUAAAGAUAUUUUGGUCACAUGUAUUUCGAUUGAAGCAAAUGCUAUCCUCACUAACUACUUGAGAAGGAUUUGUUCUACAACAUGAGUUCUGGAACAUUGUCGCAGUAGUGCACAAAUUUCAUUGGUUACAGCAAUAAAAUUUCGGACACAGCACUAAUGAUCGUCUAUAGCAGUUACAUGUAACGAUUGCACGACUGAUACAUCAUCAUGACCAUUAAAGAGAGGAAGAGUGUAUUCGCAGAGAGAGAGAGAGAGUGUGUCGACGCAGAGAGCUUCAGAGUGUUGAUGAGAAGUGAAGUGACUGCGGCCUUGAGAGAGUGAGGAUGCGCAUUUGUGCAAGAAUGUAUCAAGGGAUUCGUGGAUAUAGGCCUUGUUUACUAAUUUUUAAGAUUUCUCAUCGCAUCGAAUUUUGCAGCACAUGGAGCAUUAAAUAUAGAAAAAAGAACUAAUUACACAGUUUGCCUGUUGUGACACGAAUCUUUUGUGUCUAGUUAAUCUAUGAUUGGAUAAUAUUUAUUAAAUACAAACAAAAAUACUACAUUGUCCACUUUGUAAAAAAAAAAUGCAACUAAACAAGGGUUUAGGGUUUGCAAAAAAAUUUGCAUCUAAACAAGGCCAUAUACUGUCAGCGUAGUUGUGGCUGCUCAUUCUAAUGUCCUGUUUUGUGGGAUGAUAAAGAUCCCAGUGCUGCAGAAUUCACUGUUCUCUGAUGUAUGCCUGCCCAGACGAUAAUUGGUCAUAAACAUAAACAUAAUGAACAGAAAUGCUCGAUAGGGAACAAAAACUUGAAAGUGCUAGAUAGAGAAGAAAACUGGCUUCACCUGCUCCCCGUCUGUUCGCCGGUUCAAUCAAUGUGGGUGGAGCUCGAGCCACAAUUGUACGUCUACGGUGUGCUAACGAUAGGAGAGUAGUUGAAGCUGGAGCACCGAGAAGCUGAGCGAGAGAGGGUCGGACGCCUGGUCCAUUUGCCACAUCACGUCCGCUGACGAUGUUGGGUUGCCAUCCGCUCACCGUACGUAAAGCCUGGUUGAUUUGGCAAGAUUAGUUUGCUCUAAAAUCAGAAGCAUGUGUUAAAGAAUAUUAGGAGUCUGGCAGAGGGAGAGUAAGGAAAAAUAAAGUAACAAGCAAAGUUUAGUAACGCGUGGUGGUCUUGCUUAACAUUGCCUUCUUCAUCAGUGUCAGCCAACAACCUGGCCUUGAUCUGUGCAAAAUACUGAGUACCCUGGCAUAGGACCCUAGCUGAGCAUGUGAAAAUUUUCCAAAAUACAGAGUACCCUGGCUGCCUGGCAUAGGAGCCGAGCUCGUCUUGUUGAACUGUUCAUGGUGGUAGAAGCUGUGCGAUGCAAGGAAGCAUUCUAGUCCGAAGUUGGUUUUGCGAUGGCCGAGUCCAAAGAGACCUCACCCAUAUCGUUGUUGAUCAGAUGGAGAGUCUAUAUAGUAUGCCCCUGAGCAAAUUAAGGUGGAGUAGGCAUGGCGUACGUCCGCUGGGCACUUGGCCGCACGGCCGUGCUUUUGUAGCCGCCAGAGCAAUAGCAGAUGGUACCAUGUCGAGACCAAUGGUUCUCAUCAGCAUCGACGGAGCGACUGGCUGCGGCAGAGCGGCGGGCAGCAGCAGGGCAGCCGCGGCCCACUCCAUGGGCGUAACGAAUGACAACGUUAACGUUUGACUUCUCAGAAAUCUAGUAGGAGGAAACUGCCGGAGCCGCCCACAGGGGACGUGCACGCCAAGAGCCUCCGCACCAGAUCCGUGCCCUGCGCUGCAGGAGACAUGAGAGAAGGAGAGAGCAACUUCUGAAGCACGAAAUCAUGCAUCUACCAUUUAAAUUUAAUCUAAAACUAGUUCUUGGCCCACAUAAUUUUAGUUCCGACCCACAACUUAAGUUCCUCCACAUCGGUUCUUCUUAUCUUAUAACCUUUAGAUCUUCUUCAAGAAUGGCUCUAAUUUAUUCUAAGCACCGUAAAAUUUCUCUUAAAUAUAUAGUCAACUUGGUCCUUUCCAAUGAAUAGCAUAGUAAAAAUUCAACAAAAGAUGGUCAGAGAUGACCAGACUCUCAAAUAGAAACUGUUAAAAAGUCAGAAAAGACGAUUAUCUUAUACUCUUAUAAAGCUAAACCCCACUAGAUAUUUCUCUCAAUAUGCAAGCUAUUCAUAUCAACAAUCCACUAAAACUUGCAAUUAUAGCCAACUAGCACAUGCAAUUAUGAUAAGUCAUCUCUUCAUCUACUAACAUACAUUUAGUUGUUCAUAUUGAUGUGUCAAACUAUUCAACAAAAUUAAUUUAAGAUAAUUUUAUUCAUAUAAAUAUAUAUAUAGUAUAAUUUCUUUUUAAACUAUCUGAAAUUCGCGCAGCAACGUGCAGGGUAUUCGCCUAGUUACCAUGAUUGAAGGAACCAAACUCGCACAAUUACCGAGAAAUGGAAAAGGAACAGAGAGCAACACCAAUGGUAGGGUUUGUUUAAUAUAUACUGCCUCCAUCGCAGAUUAUAAGUUAUUCCAAAAAUCUUAAAGAGUCAAAGCAUCUUAAGUUUAACCAAAUUUAUAUUAUAGAAUAAUAACAUUUAUGAUAUAUACUAAUAUCAUUUCUUCAUUAAUUAUAUUCUUAUAGUAUAUUUAUUUGAUGUCAUAAAAUUUUGUAAUUUUUUUUAUAAUUUUGGUCAAACUUGAGAUGUUUUUUUAGAUAAUGGAUAGUUCGUAUCCAGCUUCAUCUAUCCGCAGAUAGAAUCAGGCCAAUUAUUACAAAGUUUCACCUGAGGGCAAACUCACAUGCUGCAAGCAAGGUUUACAACCAACCAAACGGGUAACCAAAACAAAAUAAGGUUCAGACUAAGCAUGACCAAUAUGUCUUGUUGAUAACCAUCCAUUGAAACUAAAAAAUUGCAAAGCUGAUGUCUCUAAGUGUUGUCCUGCGAUAAUCAGUUGAUCCCGCAGAUCAUCAUGCCGCUGCAAUCUUGCCCAUUGCCGAAGCCAAUGCGUUCCCCUAAAAAGAACCUGCAAAAAAGAUUUUGGUCUGCAUUUGUCAAAAACCACCUCGUUCCUGGUUAUCCAAAUUGCCCAACAGAGUGCAGAUGCUGCAGUUAAUAACAAUGAAUUAUACUUUUUGGUUGCUACUUUUGACCACCUAAUAAAAAGGUCAUUUAUGUCACUAGGGGUGAAAUUCCAAAAAGUAUAUGUACAGCACGUCAUAAGAAUUUGGAAUAAACACAGUCUAACAAAAGAUGUUGUAUGGAUUCUGGAGAGUGACGGAAGCAACAUUUUAUAUCCCCAUUCCAGUUUCGCCUAACUAAGUUAUUCUUAGUUAAGAUCACAUCUUUCUUUAGAUACCACAUGAAAAUUUUUAUUUUCAUAGGUAUUUUAAUUUACCAUAAAUCUUGUGACACUCUAACCCCAUUAUUAAUUAACACAGCAUACAUAGACUUACCGUAAAGCUUCCAGAUGCAUUCAAGCUCCACAAAAAGAAAUCUUUUUUCUUUAGUAAGUUAAUAUUCUAUAAAGAGGCAACAAUUUUGUACCAGUUUGUUAGGUUUGCCCCCACUAAAUUUCGUCGAAAAGAAAUAUUUAGUGGUGAAGAGCUAAUCACUUGUGCCACAAAUCUUGUUUUCUCCUUACUAUACUAAACAACGCAAGAAAUUUAUCUGUAAGGGGUUUAUUUCCUAACCAAGUGUCUAUCCAGAACCUAGUUUGAGACCCAUCUCUCACUUUAAACGAGCCAAAGUCCAUGAAAGAGUCUUUAACAUUCAUUAAACUUUUCCAAAAAUGAGAGUCUAUUGGUUUUUUAACACAGCUUCCUAAAGUCUUAUCUUUGAUAUAUUUAUUCUUUAAAAGUUCCUGCCACAUCUUCAUUCAACAACUUAAAGAACCGUUUACUAAGCAAGCAUUUGUUUUGUAUUUCCAAGUUUUUUAUGCCUAAACCCCCUGUUCUUUGGGUUGACAUAAAACUUUCCAUUUGGCUAAUCUAUAUUUCCGUUUAUGUUGGUCACUUUGCCAAUAAAAGCGUGACCUAAAGUAGUCUAUCUUUUCUAAAACGUCUUUCGGCAUUUCGAAAAAAGACAUCAUAAACAUCGGUAAACUUGAGAGCACCGAGUUUAACAAAACAAGUCGUCCCCCCACACAAAGCAUUUUGCCUUUCCAUCCACUAAGUCUCUUUUCGAUCCUAUCCUCAAUUGUUUUCCAGUCUUUAUUGUUUAGUUUCCUAGUAUUCAUAGGUAAACCAAGGUAUCGAAAGGGGUAAUUACCAAUCACGCAUCUGAAAGUUUGCGAAUAAAACAUCUCAUGUUCUUUUGCUUUGCCAAAGCAAAAUAUUUCACUUUUGUGAAAAUUUAUUUUAAGCCCCGAUAGUUGUUCAAAGGUGCUAAGCAAAAGUUUCAUAUUCAUAGCUUUUUCAGCAUCGUGGCUCAUGAAAAUUACUGUGUCAUCCGCAUACUGAAGGAUAGACAAACCAUCAUGGAUUAGAUUAGGAAUAACCCCUUCGACCUGCCCCACCUCCUUUGCUCUAGUGAUCAGUAUGGCCAACAUGUCAACCACUAUAUUAAAUAAUAUAGGGGACAUGGGAUCACCUUGUCGUAAGCCUUUUCUUGUUUGGAAGUAGGAACCUAAUUGAUCAUUAACCUUAAUAUUGACAUUACUCCCUUGAGUGAAACUUUCCACCCAUUCACACCAUUUUUGUGAGAAGCCUUUCAUCCUUAGCGUUUGUUGUAGAAAACUCCAUUUAACCUUAUCAUAUGCCUUUUCAAAGACUAUUUUAAAGAUGACCCCAUCUUUUUUUUAGAGUGAAGUUCGUGUAUCAUUUCAUGAAGUAUAACUGCACCCUCCAUGAUAUUUCUUCCUGGUAGGAAAGCUGUUUGAGUCGGUCUAAUUAUUUUUGUGCUAUGGUAGAUAGUCUAUUGGUUGCAACUUUAGUAAAGAUUUUGAAAGAAACAUUCAACAAACAAAUAGGCCUGUAUUGUUGAAUUACUUUCGCAUCCUUCUUUUUAGGUAAAAGAAUUAUGGUUCCAAAAUUGAGACGAUUUAGUGGGAGUGUUCCCUGAUGGAAAUCCAUGAACAGAGCCAAUCUUUGAUUAAAUUCCAGAAGACCUGAUAAAAUUCUGGAGGGAAACCAUCUGGACCAGGUGCCUUAUUAUGCUCCAUUUGGAAAAUCGCAACCCUCACCUCCUCUUGUGAGAAGGUAUCUGUUAAAUACUCAUUUUCUAGAGUAGAAACCUGUGGAAUAUCAACUGUUUGUGACUCAUCCAGUGUAACAUUAGAGUUCUCUGAUGGACCAAACAAGUUCUUAUAAUAUUUGGUGAUAUGCCCUUUGAGUUGAGCAUCACCACUUAUUAUGUUAUUCCCAUCUUCCAACUGGAAAAUACAAGUUUUCCGAUGUCUACCAUUAGCUAGCAGGUGAUAGUAUUUUGUAUUUGCAUCGCCUUCCAAAAGAUGUUUGACUUUAGCCCUCUAGUACCAUUUAAGUUUCUCCUCUCGAAGUAACUCUGCCAGUCUUUCAUUUAGCACAUGUUUUAGAUCUAGUUCUAAUCCAUUAAGGGUGGCAGAUUCUGCUUUCUUAUCCAGUUCAUCUAGUUUAUUUAGAAUGGUUGUCUUUUCUUUCUUGUAAGCACCAGUUUCAUUUUUUGCCCAUCCUCUGAGGUAUUGACGAAGCCUUCUUAUCUUAGCUUGCCACCUCUCUAUAGGUGAGCCAUCAACUAAUGUACUUUGCCCCACAUCACUAACCAUUUCACAAAAUCCAUCCCUCAGCAACCAACCCAAUUCAAACUUGAAUUGAUAUUGAUAAGAUGAGGACGGAUUAUUUGUGGAGAAAAGGAGAGGUGUGUGGUCAGAGAUCUCCCUAGUCAAAGCAUUUACAGUGGUAAGCGGGUACUUAGUUUCAAAAUCUGUGCAAACUAAGACCCUGUCUAAUUUUUCAAAAGUUUGAUUCUGUAAAUGAUUAGCCCACGUGAAUUUUCUCCUGACAUUUCUAUUUCUCUAAGAUUUAAAGAAUCAAUCACCGCAUUAAACAAAAAAGGCCGACCUAUCAUUAUAAAUGUCAUUGUUUUUCUCAUCUGGUCUUCGAACAAUGUUAAAGUCACCACCUAUGACAAUAGGUAAAGCUUCGUUUGAACAUACACGUACAAUUUCAGAUAAGAAAUGUGACUUUUGAUCCAACUGUGCUGGUCCAUAAACCGAAAUCAGGUUAAAUUUAAAAUCAGCUUCCCUAUGUCUAACCUUGAACCGUAUAAAAAAAUCCCCUUCCUCGAUUUCCCCAAUAUGAAAAGAUAAUAAAUGUAUACCUAGAAUCAUGCCACCAGACCUACCUUGCGGAGCCAUGCAAUGCCAAAGAAAAUCUCUGCCUACGCAAAUAUUAUUCAAAGUGGAUUGCGGGAAAUUGGCUCUACCAGUUUCUGAUAAGACAAUAAAAUCUAAGUUUUUUUUUCUUUCGUUAGAUCCGACAAGAAUCUGUAUUUUUUAGAAUCAGCAAACCCGUUGCAAUUCCAGAAAAUGUCUUUCAUCUAGAAAAAAUCCUGUUAUUUUUCUUAUGUUUAUGACGGAGACCUCUUCGAGCAUCUUUUGUGAUACAGGGGUUUGUAAACACUUAGGGUCACAACCCCCAUCACCUAGCCCUUUCGAGAUUUCAGAGCAGAUUAAAUUUAAGCUUUUUUGGUCUAAAAUAUCGACAUCAGAACAAUAAGUCGAAGCCUCCGCUAAUUUAUUACUCUCAGACAUUCUAAAAUUUUCUACUUCUCUUAAAGAAUUUAAAGAGUUAAUGACAUCGUCCUGUUCAUUGUCCCCUAGAAUAAUCCCUAAAGAAUUGGUGCUACGUAGCAAAGAAGAAACAUCACGAGAAAGAAAAGAGCAAGGCUGUGUAUUAUUACCUUUAUCUGACUUGGACUCCAAAUUUUUGCGAGCCUUUAGUUUUGUUGCUUUCUCCACCGAAUCUUCUCUUGCUUAAUCUCCUAGGUGAUACUGUCCCACCAUUCUGUACUUUCAUCUUAUUCAGAAGUCCAGAGUCAUUUUUUGGAUUCACCGGGCUGGCCUUCCACUGGCCACAUCCAUCUGGAAAUAUCCAGUUGUGAGACAAUGCUAUAACUGGUUUUUUCUAAGUUGAACAGGUUUGCUUUGAUGGACUAAAGAUCCCAAAGAAUCUUUUUUUUUCGAAAGAUCCGUUACCGGCUUUCAUUGAUAAGUGGAGAGAAUAAUAGUUACAAGAGCUAUUUACAAGUUUUUGUGGCCUCGCAGUUUCUGGAGGCCACAACACCCCUACUAAUUACAGACUAGAUUACAAAUGUAGAGGAGCCUACUGGUCUUAGAAAGAAAAGUGCUACUCAUGAGAGGUGAGGCCCUAAAGGUACAAACGUUGGCAGCAGAGUUUGUAGGCCUUUGUUCCCUGAUCGUAUCCAUGUUUUAGCUUCAUCCUGGAUUGUACUUAGUACUUGGCUCGGCGUGCUGCAGAAAUUGUUGAAAACACGGUUGUUUCGUUCUCUCCAUAUUUCCCAGAUAGUCAGAAUGACUAUGGAGCGUAUCCCAUCUCUCACUUCAUUGUUAUUGCUGUUCCCCAUGUUCACGAACCAUUGUUCCAUAUCAUCUAUGCAUCCCCAAUUAGACGGUUUGAGAUUCACUGCCCCAGUCCAUGUGCUGACCUUAUCCCAGAUCAUUCUUGAGAACUUGCAUUCCUGGAAAAGAUGGGAGGUGGUCUCUAAGUUUCUAACGCAGAGAUGACAGAAAUAUUCAUUGGGCCAUUCUCUGAGUUGUAAACGUGCAGCUGUCCAAAUCCUGUUUUGGAGCAUCAACCAGACAAAGAAGCGGCAUUUUGGCGGUGCUUUCGUUCGCCAGGUGUUCUCUGCAGUCAGUGACUUAGUUGUGCCUGCGAAUUGCAGGUCAUAUGCUGAUUUUGCAGUAUAUUGCCCACCAGUAGUGUGCAGCCAAAUGAUCCUGUCUUCCUGCAGUGGGAGGAGUGUGAUGUUUUGAAGGCGCCGCCAUAAGGCCACGAAUUCUUCAAUUGUCCGCUGUGUCAUACUAUGGUCGACAUCUUGGAUCCAUUUGUCAUUGGUUAGCGCUUCGACAACUGAUCUGUUUUUCCUUCUGCUGUGGUUAAAGAGUGUUGGGAAUAGGGCUGCAGGAGCCUCACCUUGCAGCCAGCGCGAGGUCCAGAAGGUAGCCUUAGCACCAUUUCCCAGUUCAAUUCUGGUUGCAGCAUUGAAGAGUGCUAUGUCAUCCUUGUCCACUGGCAUCUGCAUGUCUUUCCAUGGUCUUUCUGUGUCUUCCCUGGAGAACCACAGCCACCUUAGUCGUAGGGCUCUGCUGAACUUCUCCAAUUCUACAAUACCUUGGCCUCCAUUAACAGUUGGCGUGCAUACCUUGAACCAGCCCACUUUACACUUUCCACCAGUGAGUUCAUGGUCACCUGCCCAUAGGAAUCUUCUUCUCAGUUUGUCUAGCUCCCUCAGGAAGUUCUUAGGAGGUUUAAUGACCGUCAUCAAAUAAACAGGUAGUGAGCUAAGUACUGACCGCACCAAUUCUCUUCUCCCAGCUACAUUGACUAAGCGUCCUUGCCAUCCGGCAACCUUGCCUUUGGCUCUGUCGAUGAUGUAUUGUAGGUGAGCCAUUCUUAACCUUCCGAGCGUUAGCGGCAAUCCUAAGUAUUUGACUGGGAAGCAGACUUCAACCUCUUGCUAGAUAGCACCCCCAUCAGUUUUGCCAGAGUUAGGUAGCUGAUUACCAGAAGCAUUAUUAGGUGGCUGAUCCUCAAUUUUUUUCCAUCCAUAUCCAUGUUCUCAUUAGCUUUUUCCUCAUUUGGUUUUCCUUUCUCAGGAUCCUCAUCCUAGUCCAUGUCUAUGACCUCUGGCUCACCAUUAGGCAUACCUUCUUCCACUCUGAACUGUAGCUCAUAAACAAAAUCUCCAAUCACAACAUCCACCAGAUUAGGGAUAAGACUGGGAUCAAGCACGGCUACUUUCAUUCUUGCUCUGCCAAACUUCUUUAUGAAUUUGGUGUCUACAGCUCAGGGAACACCUAAGAUGGAGCCAAUUGCCCAGAUAAUGGAGAAUUCCCGAAACUCCUUACGAAGUCCCCUAAACUGCACCCAAACUUUUUAAAAUGACUUAUAACUUGGGAUGGAGGGGAGCAUAUUUUUGGUUUAACGCGUAAACCUUUCCGUCCAUUAGUGUGUACGUAUCGUUACCUUGUUCACGGAGUACUCUUCCCACGCACGCACAGCGCCGCUGGCCGAACAGGGAAGCGCCAUGCCGCUGGCCGUAGCUCUCUCUUCACAGGCGACGGGCAUGCGACCGGCGGUGAGCGGUGCGGCCACAAGCUAGCGUCAGGCGACGGCCGGCGCGGCCACAGGCGGUGUGCCAAGUGCGGCGGCCGCGGUGGCUCAGCUUUAUUAUGUUAUUGUACAUACGGCGUGCGGCCGUGGCUGCACUUAUAUUGCGUACUGGUGUCCGUACGGCUACAGACCAAGAAGGGGUAGGAAUCUGUAUCGUACAUACAACAGUAUAUACUAAGGGGUGAAAUUACUGGAGUACCAUUUAUUUUUUAAAAUAUUAACUAAAAAUUACUUAAAAAUUAUAUGUUUUGGUACUGGUCCGGUGUAUUGACCCGGCAAUGAUCAUCCUCCUAUCACUGCAGCAUCUAAACACCGGGAGUACUGAUGGGCAAGCCCAUCCAUUUACCCAUUGUUGAGUCCGAUUUCAGUGUGAUCCAUGGACAUGGUGUAGUCAACGUAACGUCAACAUAGAUAGAACAUAUCUUCUAUUAGUGUUUCCUAAUUGCAUUUCUUGAAUUGGAGACGACAUUUGUAAUGGUAACAGAGAAAUUAUGCGUACGAGAUGAAGUUUCCUGUCACUACUCUUUUGCCCAAGCAUUCCUGAUUCAACUAGUAGGAUCAUUAAUUUUCUGCGACAUAGUACUAAAGUUACAUGCAUGUGUUUUUCUGCAAACUAUGUGCAUUUGGUGUUGCAGCUGCAUGUGCGCCGGCCGGGACCCCAAAUUAUCUUGGCCCUUAUAAAAGGCACACAAGUUGCAUCUUGCCUGCCAUUCAGUCUUUGACACAAAAGGAAACACACAUGAGGGAGUGUGUGUGCUUGUGUCCGCGAGAAAGCAGCCAUAAGUUACAUAGCCAUGUGGGAUCUGGAGGCAUCAGGAUCUUUGGCUAUGCUAAAGCCUAGAUGGUGCUCACAUAAUGCUACAGGGUGGUGGAAGCUGUCUGAUGCAAGAGGCUGGUUUUGUGAUGGCCAGUCCAAAGGUACCUCACAUCUUGUUGUUGAUUGCAUUGAAUAGAUGAAGAGAGAGUGUAAUCAAGUAGAAAAUAAUUUAACAUGUCUAGCCACAAUACAGGAGAUUUGUGUUCUGCUAGGCAAGCACUUGCCUUCAUUUCGCAAAGCAUCCAAAUGAUUGUAACCAGCCCCAGCUUAAGGUAGCAAUUAAGAUGCGGCAAUUCUCUUGCGCGGGGGUAAGCUAUAGUCCUAAGCGGCAUCUCGUUCAUAUACCUAACUAACUAAUAUGUUGCUGCAAUCGGUCUUGAAAAUCCUAGGAGAAGACCUCGAUCCCUAAAUGAAAGUAAUUACUGAAUGAAUUAAGCCUGAAGCAAUAAGUUUAAAAUAUCAUCCCAAGUUAGAAGUUACUACCUGAUGGCUCAAUGCAUACUUUCCGCACAAAAAAAGAGGCAGCCGAUUUUUUUUCUUGAAAGCAGUUUGUAAUCAAUUUCUCUAGGACCAUUUGGAUCAACUGAAUUAUAGAUUAUUAAAAGGUAGCUUGAAGGUUAUGAAAACUACAUUGUGGUAAGUGAAUGGAAAUGGUGGAUAAUUUUUAGUGAACUCCAAUAUACAGUCAAUUUGGUCUUUUUGAACGAAUAAAUUAGUACAAAUUCAACAAACAUGGUCAGGGAUUGUGACACUCUCUAAUAGCAUCUAUUAAAAAUUUGGGUAAUAACAGUGCCACGAUUGAAGGAACCAAAACCGCACAAUUGGGGGAAAAUAGAAAAAAUCAGAGUGCAACAUCGAUCCUAGGGUUUGUCGGUGUGCACCUGUCGACGAUGAUGUUCCACCAUUUUUAGUUGCAAAAAUAGAAUAAAGAUUAUUAUGGACGGCAUUUAUCCUUGUUGUUACAUGUACCAUUGCUCCUGUCCUGUGUAGCAAGGGAAAAAUGAUUGAAAUGGCACUUAUGCUAUUUAUUUAGACAUAGAUUCUAAAAUACUAGCUCUUAUAUAUAUAUAUAUAUGCUAUUUUAGAAUCUAUGUCUCUUUUUAUUCAACCAAAAAAUGAAUCUAUGUCUUUAAUAACGCAUCUUGUGAAAUUGAAUAUGGAGGCUUAACAGAAAUACUUAACUCGUAACUGCAAUAUGGGAUGAUGAGAGAUUCUUGUGAAAUUGAAUAUGGAGAUGAAGGUACCAAAUGAUGUAUUCGUAUUAAUAUAUCAAGCAAGAAUGGCGAGUUUUAUGAUUUUUCUUGAAAGGACAGCAUUUUUGCUGCGAUUUUUAUUAGACGAGGAAAAACAAAAAAGGCUAUACAAACACAACUAAAAAUGUAAAAAAAGAAGACAAAUGGAGACCUGAGCCGGGGUCAUAGGAUAUACCAAAACAAGACAACACUCACAACAUGGGUCGAUGAAAUGACUAGAUGCCGGGCUAAAUGUACGGUUUGAUCCUUGCAUAAGCUCGCGACUUUCAUUGGACAUCUUGUUUUCUAUAGAAAAGUUCUUCUAUUACACUCCUUCUAAAUAUGCCACCAGAAAUAGAUUAUAAUUUUGUCAAAAAACUUUUUUUCUUGGUUUGUCAAUGGUAUAGCUGUGCAUGCAUCUCCUCCAGUAACUAUUCAUGGAGCUGCUUUGAUUUAUGUUCCAAAUGUUGGGGAUAUCACACCAAGUCUGUACUAUUGACCAUGUUUCCUUGAAGGCGAUGCGUGUGCUCACAUUGGGGUUCAUGGUGGCCAGGUUGAAGACGACACUGGCAGAAAUUACAAGAGACAGAAGUAAUGCUGCAGCAUAUAGACCGAACAGCGGGACUAGCAGUUAUUAUGACAUCCAUAUCUCAGUCACCAUGGAACCUAUGGACAAACCAACUUACAUAAACAUGUGCAAGUAUAGGAGACAUUGGGCUGCCGGAUUAACGGGAACGCCAUUACGAUCCAGACUCCAGAGCAGCACAACAACGGCCAGGACGGCAGGGAUAGCGUUCAUAAAGUUUUUUUGUGAUUUGUGCUCUGUUUUUUGAGAAGCGAAACAAUGUCAUGUUUGAUUUGUAGUAAACAAGAAAUACUGAUAUUUAAUUAUGAUAUGGAAUAAGUACUAGAUUAAUAAUACAACAUGUUUUAUUUUUUAUAGUGAAUCUGUUCAAAGAAGACAAAAAUACUGAUUCUAUUUUUUUUUCUAUAAAUUAAGAAAAACUAGAUGUGCAUUUUUUUUGACGUCGAGUACUACGAAAUUUUGGGAAGGGUGCUAUAACAGCCAAGCCAAACUCUUCUGCGAACUCAAAGGCCAUGACCCAACCAAACCUCACCUGCACACCACUUGUCUUGACACCACACAAAGAAUUGCAUCACAGCAUACCUUCACCUUCUUCCUCCCGUCAUCACUCCACGGCAAGACCUCCGCUCGUCGUCUCUUACAAAUGCCAAGCCCACGCCCUUCCUCCUUCUCACUACCAACGCCGGCCAAGAAGCCACCAACAACCAGCAGCAGUUCAGGAUGGGCGACGCGGCCAUCGCCGUCGUGCAUCAGACUGAAGAGGAGCAGGAGGAACACAUAUUCCGGAGCCGGUUCCCGCCCGUGGACCUACCGGACGUCACCGUGCCGGAGUUCGUGCUGGCGGGCGCCGAGGCCUACGCGGACAAGGUGGCGCUCGUGGAGGCCGCUCCGGGCGGCCGGUCCUACACCUACGGCGAGGUGGCCCAGGACGUGGCGCGGUUCGCCAGGGCGCUGCGGUCCAUCGGCAUCCGCAAGGGCCACGUCGUGGUGGUCGCGCUGCCGAACCUCGCGGUGUACCCGGUGGUGAGCCUCGGGAUCAUGUCCGCGGGCGCGGUCUUCUCCGGCGUGAACCCGCGCGCCAUCGCCGCCGAGAUCAAGAAGCAGGUGGAGGACUCGGAGGCCAAGCUCGUUGUCGCCAACGAGGUGGCCUACGACAAGGUGAAGGACGCGGGCGUGCCGGUGAUCGGCAUCGGGGACGACAUGGAGCGCUUCCCCGGCGCGAUCAGCUGGGACGAGCUCCUCGCCGCGGCGGACCGCACGGGCGCGCCGGUGGUGGCGCUGGAGCCGGUGCAGCAGUCCGACCUGUGCGCGCUCCCCUACUCGUCCGGCACGACGGGGGUGUCCAAGGGCGUGAUGCUGAGCCACCGGAACCUGGUCUCCAACCUCUGCUCCUCCAUGUUCGCCGUCGGCGAGGAGCUCGUCGGGCAGGUGGUCACCCUGGGGCUCAUGCCCUUCUUCCACAUCUACGGCAUCACCGGCAUCUGCUGCUCCACGCUCCGGCACAAGGGCACGGUGGUGGUGAUGGACCGCUUCGACCUGCGCACCUUCCUGGGCGCGCUGGUGACUCACCGCGUGAGGUUCGCUCCCAUCGUGCCGCCCGUGAUGCUGGCCAUGGUGAAGAGCUCCGUGGCCGACGAGUUCGACCUCUCCGACCUCGCCCUCAGGUCCGUCAUGACCGCCGCUCGCGCCGGACCUCCUCGCGGCGUUCGAGAAGAAGUUCCCCGGCGUGCAGGUGGAGGAGGCGUACGGGCUCACGGAGCACAGCUGCAUCACGCUGACGCACGCCGGCGGCGACGACCCGCAGCAGGGGCCGGUCCAGAUCGCCAAGAAGAACUCGGUCGGGUUCAUCCUGCCCAACCUGGAGGUGAAGUUCGUCGACCCCGACACGGGCCGGUCGCUGCCCAAGAACACGGCCGGGGAGAUCUGCGUCCGGAGCCAGGCCGUGAUGCAGGGCUACUACAGGAAGAAGGAGGAGACGGAGCGCACCAUCGACGCCAAGGGCUGGCUCCACACCGGCGACGUCGGCUACAUCGACGACGACGGCGACGUGUUCGUCGUCGACCGGAUCAAGGAGCUCAUCAAGUACAAGGGCUUCCAGGUUGCUCCUGCCGAGCUGGAGGCCAUUCUCCUGUCCCACCCGUCGGUCGAAGACGCGGCCGUCUUCGGGUAAGUUAUCGCGACCAUGACCGCCUGCAUGCAGCUCACGACGCACUAGACAGAGACUUGACCGCCGUGCUUGUGCUGCGUCAUGCCAUGCCAUGCAGCCUGCCGGACGAGGAGGCCGGCGAGGUCCCGGUGUCGUGCGUGGUGCGGCGGCGUGGCUCGUCGGAGAGCGAGGCAGACAUCAUGGCGUACGUGGCCGGUCGCGUGGCGUCGUACAAGAAGCUCCGGCAGCUGCAGUUCGUGGACGUCAUCCCCAAGUCGGUGUCCGGCAAGAUCCUGCGGCGGCAGCUUAGGGACGAGUUCGUCAACAGGACCAAAACGGCAGCAGCCUAGGCACAAAUACAGGCAGGCUUAGCUCCAACAAUGGUAACUUGCAUAGCUCAUUGAAACGAGUACAUGUCAAGCUAUUCUAAUUUUUUAAGGCGACUACAUCUGUGAUGCUCAAUGUGCUUUGUUUAUGCUGUUUGACGAGGCCGUGUGAUAUGACGACUGUUUAAGGCGACUACAAGAAAUCUGAGCUUCUAUGACGACUACUAGAUGACAGAGCACCUUUCUGUCAUAAAUAGAAAUAGUUUAUGAAGACUGUUUACAGGAUGACAACUGUUUAUGACCAAGCUGUGUCUCUGUCAUAAACAUUAUCACAGUAUACUCUGCAUAUGCUUUGUGACGAUAGAUCAAUGGCAAUAGUUGAUCGUCAUAAAAUAUAUAACUAUUAAAAAAAUUACUCAAACUUGAAUAAAGACAUGAUCAAAACCAAAGAUGUAGUUACAACUUAUUCUACAACUUGCCAUAAUUUUUUAUACCAUAAACUUUGAUAAAAGACAUGAUCAAAAUUAAUGUAGAUAAGUUCUAUAACUUUUUUGUUGAUGUCUUUUUAUUAUAAUUAAUUUAGUCACUCAAAAUUCUACUCGAAAUUAUCAUAUUUCAAAAUACAAAAUUUCAAAUUAUUGGGCUAUAUUCCAGGCCCAUAUAAUUUGAAUGUAACAACAUGUCGUUGAAUUUUCUGGUCAUUUUUUUGUUGGCUCUAAUUUGACCUGAGAACAUAAUAAUUUUUCAAUGAGAUUAACUUAAAUUUUUUGCUAAUAAUUAAUUCUAAAUAAUGCAGUAAUAAUAAAAAAAGAAAACUUAAAAGAAUAUAUAAACCUUAUUCGGCUUAUAUAAUUAUUUGUUCUAACCCCGAACGCACAAGCCAAUAAGGCCGUAACCUGGGCCUGGGCCUCGAAAGUGCCCUCGGGCCUCCUCUUCCCCACCGGUCUGUUAAGACCACGAGACGAUCAUGGCUGUUUGUAUGGAUCUGACGACUGGCCUUGCUUUUCGAUGGUUUAAAACCAGUAGCCUGAGAAACCCUAACUGGCUAACCUUAUCUCCAGAGUCCAGCCGCCGCCACUCAGCCAACGAAAAAAGAAAAAAUCGCUCCCCCUCAGGCCCAUCGCUCUCCCCAGCUCCUCCGCAGUCUUGGGCGCCCUCGACGCCGGCGGCCGUCUUGGGCUCGACGGCCGUCCUCAGCCCCACCAUUCUCUGCUUCCAGGUCGUCCUCUCCCCAGCCGUUCUCCACUCCGCCCCAUCUGCCGCGUCUCCUCCUCCGCCCCAUCUGUUGCGUGACGUACUUCCGCAUCUGCUGCGUGCCCUAGCCCUCAUGCUUCCUCCGGACAGAUGCCCUUCACUGUGAACAGUCUAGGCCGUUGAAUCUCCUUCCUGCUCAGAACAACUUUGCUUCUUUUUGCGAUCGAUCAGGUCACCAGGUAGAGGUAAAAAUGGUGCUUUUUUUUUUUUGCAAUCAGGUCAUUCCUUAAAGCUUGCUGGUACGUGAAUAGAUCAGAUGGAUAUUAGUGCAGGUCAUUCCUUAAAGCUUGCUGGUACGUGAAUAGAUCAGAUGGAUAUUAGUGCAGAUCCGUCAAUUUCUCCUCUUUAUCUUAGGAUUUUUUUAUCCUAUUAGGUCCUAUUAGUACCGAUCUGUUAAUGUACUAGUAAAAGAGAUAGUGGAUUGGCAUAUGGUGACGCUUAGUUCAUAGGGUAUAAUCAGAUAUACCAUAUGCAUGAAUGGUGCACAUAUGUAGGAGUGCAGUAGUUAGCAUUGUGCAUUAGAGGUACUUUUUUAGAGGCUCUAGUGCUUAGGUUUAUAGGUUGAAGUAUUGUCUGAUGAUAAUAAAUCUAGCAAAUUAAUUAAGUAUGAUUUAUAAUCUUCCAAAUUAAGUAUGAUGUCUAAAACAGAUUGUGCCCUGUUUUUUCAGGUUAGGUAUUUGAGAAGGACGCUGGUCAGUGUUGAGGACUGCUACUAUACAAUUCUCUGUGGAAAGGUUGUCAUCUUCUACUUACGUUUCAUCUGUUUUAGAGUUACAGCUAUAUGAUCCUGUGUUCGUUAAAUUCAGCAAGCUGAAGCACUAUAUUUUCUUUAGGGGCAAUCUAAGGAUAUAUGGAGGCAAUUCCUUGUACAAGUAGGAACAUUGACUAAAUUUGAGAAGGUUACCUGAGGUGAUCUGGUUUUGGAGCCUUAUCCUUGCAGGUAUAUUUGAUUCACGAUUUGAGAUCUGGUUUGUGCAGAAGUUUUAGAUUUGAGUCAUGGAUUCUUAGCCGUGUGAUGCUUCAUCUCUCGUGCAGUCCCAGCUAUUGUAUGCUCUGUGUUUGUGCUAGUCCAAAUAUAUUCUAUACUAUGAGUUGUUAUUCUGACUUUCUGAGUGACUACAACUCAGUACAUGUCAGAUUUAAUAAACAAUCUCAAUGAUUUUCGUAAGUGUUAAUCUUAUUUUGACUCAAGUUUUUGCUUCAUAUUGAACCUGUCAUGAAUAUUCAGAGUAUGUUUCAUUGAGGUUAUCAUUGCUUGUGCAGGUUGGGCUGUGCUGUUUUGAUGCGUGUAGCAGUGAAGUUUUGUUUGCUGGAACGUGGCUGCAGGCUGCUGGGUACUUUUGUGUAGUUUGGUCGCUCCGUGGUUGAUACUUUUGAGUAGUUUCGUGGCUCCGUGGUUGGUACUUUCGUGUAGUUUGGUGGCUAGAAUGUUUUUGGUGUAUGUAACAUGUAUUCUGGAACAUAUGCUUUUGUUGGCUGGAAUAUUAUCUGUGGCUAGAAUAUAUCUGUUGCAUUGUUGGUUAUUAUAUUCAUGCAAUUGUGAAUGUGAUUUAUAUUCCGUGAUUGUUUUAUUGGACCAGCCACAAAUCUUGCGCUGUAAUGAAAAAAGCCAAUUUGUAGCUAGGCUAGAAAAAUAUUUGGGCCAAUUGGGCUGAUUGUAAUUGAAAAUAAAAAAAAUAAAAAAAAUCCAUGCUAUAUGGGCCAAAUGCAUAUACACGUGCUGCUAUUUUGUUUAAUAUGUUAUGACGAGUUUAAUUCUGUCAUUACAUCAAUGACAAGAGAACUAUCGUCACUAUAUCAAUGACAAUGUCCUCUGAUGGUCACAGAAGCUGUUUAGUGACCCACCUUCUGUGACGACAGUCACUUCGUCACUGUGGGCGUGACAGGAAAAAGGCUGUUAUCGUCAUAAUCUAAUUGUCAUAGAAGCCCAGAAUUCUUGUAGAGAAUAGAUGGGUUCUUUUGGGCUUUUGGCCACAUUGGUAGUGCUCCUAGAAAAAAAUGAGUCCUUUCCCACAAUUAUAGAAGUUCUAAAUUCCAUACGUGCCACUCAGAAUCCGUGUCCGAGCUAGCAUUCUCUGGUGUAAGGUGUGAGGACGAUAAAGAGAUAGGCAGGUUGUGUGGGCAAGCUAAGUUCUGCCCCGACGACCAGCGGGAGCACGCGCGGGCAAGCGCCAACCUGCUGGGCUGCUGGCAUAGCCACUGUAGAAGAGCUCCUCCGCGGAGCAGUAUCCGGCGCAGCAUGGGAGAGGGACGAGAGAAAUAAAGGUGAAAAAAGGAGAAGUGCAUAGUAAGGGCACUUUGGACAUUUUUUAUGGCUGCCCCAUGUGACAGAGCUAUGAGGGCGCUAAAAUGUAACAGAAGUGGUGGCAUGCAGAGCAAUAUCAUUGUAGAAAAAAGUUAGCGACUCAUUUGAAGUUUCUAUCAAUCAACCUGAAUGCUUUUUUUCUUUGCGAAUUGGAAGAAUCAAGUAGGGUCAUUAUAAGAGACUAAACAAACUCUGGAAAAAAAAAUAAAAGAAGACUUGACUCCGACUUAAACUAAGAGCUAAUUAAGCUAACUUUAUAUAAGGUGGACUGAAAUUUCAAUUUCGGAAGAAGGCUAGGGGAGGCAGAAGUGGCUAAAUGGGAUGAACUAAUAAAUGAGCUAGAGAUAGUUGAACUAAGCGGUGUAGAUGAUGAGGUUAUCUGGGCCCUAUAACCAUAUGGCAAAUUCUCCAUCAAAUCCCUAUACAAGAUAAUGACCAAUAGUGGGAUGGUGGAUCUGAGGAUGACUGAAAUGUGGAAAGCACACCUUCCCCCGAAUUUUUUUUGAAAGGACAGGAGGGGCUGAGGAGCCCUACUGAAAUGUUAUUAAAGCAACCCAGGAGGUUGCGAAACAGGCGAAACGAGUUCAAAAGGUAAAAACAAGGAAAAAAAGACUAAAACUUGAAGAGGAGGGGUUGAUGGAAUACAUAUCCAUUCAGGAAACAAAGAACGAAAUGGAAAAAAAUAAAAAAAAAAUUACACAGCUCUAACUAUAAUUCAAUAUCUGGAAAGUACUUCUUCUUAGCUCUCCACGGGAGCUGCUUGAAGUGAUGCCUGAAAAUUUCGAUGCAGCUAAAGUAAUCCACCGAAACUCCUCUGAAAAUAACAUCGUUUCUAGAAACCCAGAUGCUCCAACACAAGAGAAUUAUCACCUCCAUGAAGAAGGAAACAUUUAGCUGAGUUUUAAGGCUUUGAAGCCUCCGAAAAGCAUCUGGGUCACUCAUGAUGACCAAACCAAGGAGGCUCCAAUAGUUUCUAGGAAAACUGCAUUCCAUGAACAAAUGAUCCACAGUUUCGUCAAAGUGAAGAGAGCAAAGGACACAAUUUGUAGAUGGGAUUGGCAUGUGCCUUCUACUGAGUAGGUUGGGAGUGCGAGCCUAUCUCUUAUUAGGAGCCAAAAGAAUACCUUAUGUUUAUGUUGGCAGGAGGAGUUCCAGAGCCAUUUGAAAACUGGAUGGGUUUGCACAUUUCCAAGCAGAUGCCUAUAUGCCUUUUUGGAAGAAAAUAUGGCACUGCCCCAAAUGUAAGUCCAAAUGCCUAUAUGCUAUAUAUUUCCAAACGGGCCGAAUUUAGCGGGCUGGCACGGGCACGGUACGAAAAAGCCCGAUCUGAAAAUGGCGCCUUGUGCCCAUUCCAAGCACGGCCCGGCACCAUGCCCGUGCUUGGGCCGCAAUGCCAGCACGGUGGCAUGGCCCGGACACGACCCGCUUCAAUGGCCGGCAUGGGGGUCACACCCCUAUAUAAGGCGGGAGCCGCGACCGCCCCUCCCCCAUUGAAACCCUAAAUCAUUUCCCCCCUCUUGGCCUCUCCUCUUCCUCUCGCUCUCGAUGUGGCGCCUCCUCCUCCCUGGCUGAAACCCUAAAUCCACCUUCUUCCCUUCGUCCGGUGAGAAGCAGAGGGCCGCGGUGGCUAAUUGACACAGGGAUCUGCAUCCCCGACCCCUCUUAUUCCUUGCUUCAAGUCGAUGUGAUAGUAACCUCGUCAAUCUCCUCUCUCUCUCUCUCUCGUCUCCAUCAUCGACGCCGCCGUUGCCGGACUCCGACAGCUUUGGGGCUCCGCUCUGAUGCGUUGAGGUACCAGGGUGCCGGAUCUUGGCGACGUCAUCCUCGCCGUUGUCUUUGGUGCUCCGUCAAGCAAGGUCAGUCGUAACCCUAGAUCUCGUCCUCCUUGUUCUUCUUCUGUUCAUCACUUCUUGAUUUCUGCCUGGUUUUAAUCAUCUUUUUUGUUUUGAUGUUCGUUAGGGUUUGGCGUUGAGGGACCGGAGACGGACAAGAUGUCGGAAGAGGAUGAUGUCGUCGAGAUGACCGAAAAUGAGGAGAUGCGGUUCUCUGGGUUGACUGGAGACGACGAGGAUGAUCUCUUUGGGGAUGCCGAGGAGCUCUUGCGCCGUCAUGCUAUCGAGGACCUCUUCGAUGGUUCUGCUGUCCACCCACAUCCCCUCGACGACGAUAUGGCCCCAAUCGAGUUCCAUGCUGCUGCGGCAACGCCGGUGAUGCUGAGAGCAAUGCUGGUGCUGCUGACGCCAACACCGAUGCUGCUGAUGCCUCCAGUAGCAGGGGUAAACGCCCUUCUACCUCACCAUGCUGGGAGGAUUUUGAGAAGCUCUUCAAGAAGGUAAAUGGUAAGGAGGUCAGGUAUGGCACUCGUUGUCUUCACUGUCGUAAACCGGGUAUUCUAGAUUUGGGACUGGCCACCUCCUUCGUCAUAUGGAGGUUUGUGAGAAGAAAAAGGAGAAGUCUCGCCUUACUCAGUCCCACAUUACUUUCACUAAAGAUGGUGUUGCUCGUAACUGGGAGUAUUCUUGUGAGGUAGCUCGUGUUCAGCUUAUUUGUUUGCUUGCUAGACUAGACCUUCCUCUUAGACUUGGGGAACCUGAGGCAUGGGAUCUGAACUCGCAUCCUAUCUGGAUUGUGACACUGUCAGUCAGUAUGAUGAUGACUUUAACUAACUUAUCUUAUUCUUUCUACCCUAGCUAAAGAUAUUUUUAGUGUAUCUGUUUCUAUAAUUUCUUCAGAAUCUACUUUCAGCACCACUGGCAGGAUCCUUGAAGAACGGCGGUGAAGGUUGAAUCCUGAGACUGUGGAGGCACUGACAUGCAUCAAGGAUUAGGAAGCUACUGAAUCAAGACUACAACAUAUGGUGGAGGACAAAGAACUAGAGGCUAUCUAUGAAGACCUUUAUCUUGAUUAGUCAUUUCAUUUAUGUAAUGGUUCUGUAAUCUUAAAACUCUGGAUGUGGAUGCUUUGGACCUUGGUUGUUGAUGUAAUGAACAUUAAUCUAGGGGCUGGCUGUACUCUUUUUGCUUGUCUAGGGUUUCUCACAAGGGUGAGUUUUAUCUAGACAGAUUUUUAAUGAGGCAGCCAUUGCACAGCCUCCUCCUUUUGUUAUGUUUGUGCCUUUGUGAUCUCUGUCUGUUUUUUUGUUUUUAAAUUCUGAGAAGUUCAUUGAAUUUGCUAUUUUUAAUGAGUUUUUUUGCAUGUUUUUGUGGUGUUAGUGCUUGGGCACGUCACUACACUAAUAUUCACUGGCGGGCACGGCGCGGCACUAAUUAUCGCCCUUAGUGUCGUGCUCGUGCCAAGAGCUCGGCACGACAGCCCUACUUGGCACGGCACGGCUGGCACGCGUGCCAGAUAGGGCCGUGCCUGAUAGUGUCGUGCCAGCACCGUGCUAGUGUCGUGUAGUGUCGUGCCGCCUGUUUGGAAAACUAUGAUAGGAGCUCGACAAAAUUGCGACGUCUAGGUGCCAUUGGAGCUAGCGUGUGGUGGCCAAUGAGGAAUAGCAGAUGCAGUUUUAGUUUGUUGCAUAGAUACAUAUUUAUUAUGGGCGCUUACGGUUGCGGAACGGCCGGUGUGGUGAAACAGGAUGACUUUUCCUAAGUUCUAAUCUCAAGAUUAGAAAAUUUAAAUAGAUUAGAAGUUAUUGGAGAGAGAUUUUUCUCAUUUUACAGAAAACCAUAUAUUAGAAAGGGAUCUAGGGAACUCAUCUAGAUGCUCUAGCCCUAUCGUCUACCGUGUUUUUCCGUCUUUCGGCGCACAUGACGUAUCUCACUUUGCAUGCAUGCGAAUCUCAACAUUUGAUAACAAAGUUUCAGUCCAUUAUUAUUAUUGUGUGUGUGUUUGGGCACUACAGGAAUCAAGAAGGACGCCGAGUGUUAUAUGCUUUGCUAAGUGCCACAUUCAGGUACUCGGCAAAGUUUGGCACUCGGCAAAGGAUGACACUCGGUAAAGAAAUUUUUUUCUUCUAAAUUUUUUCUACUGUCUUUAUACUUUAUUUUGAAGUGUAUGUUCAAAUUUGCCACAGUUCUCGAUAUAUUUCCUAUAUAUCUUUAAUUUAUUUCAUUUAAACGUAUUUUUCUGAAAAUACAAUAUCGAAUCACAGGUGCAUCGAAUCAUAGAAUUCGAUGAUUGAAAAAAAAAUAAUAUUUAUGAUACUUAUUGUAGUUUGAGGUUGUUUCCAGGAGCACGUCCAAAAUUUCUAACGUCUUAUACACGAAACAUGGUCAUAAAGUUGCGCGAAAAAUACAUUUUAAUUAUAUAAAUUACAAAUGAAGACCGAAAAUCUUAAAACCUGGCGACACGUCUUUACAUCACAUGUGGUCGUUAUGAUAAAAAUUUGAGAACGUUUUGCAGAAGUUGUCAUAUACGUGUGAUCGUAACUUUGCCAAGUGCCCUGUAGUGUGCAUUUGGCAAAGAGUAUUUUUUAAAAAAAAAUAAAAAUAGCUUUUGCCGAGUGCUAGAUCAGUUGGCACUUGGCAAAGAAUAAUUUUUUUUAAAAUUUUUUUUGCCGAGUGCCAUGACAUGACUCUCGGCAAAGAGUUUCAGCAUUUUUAUAAAAAUAGUGGAAAAUAAUUUUUGUAGAAAAUAUUUUUUAUUUGACAAAAUAUUUGCCGAGUGCCCUAAUCUGGCAAAGAGUUUCAGCAUUUUUUAAAAAAUAAUGGAAAAUCAUUUUUUUUAAGAAACAUAUUUUUUAUUUGAAAAUCUUUUUUGCCGAGUGGCGUGAUCUGGCACACGGCAAAGAGUUUAGGCAUUUUUUUAAAAAAAUAAUGAAAAAUCAUUUUUUAAAAGAAAUAUUUUUGUAUGAAAAUAAAAUCUUUACCUAGUGCUGUGAUCUAGCACUCGACGAAGAGUUUUGGCAUUUUUCAAAAAAUAAUGAUAAAUCAUUUUUUUUUAAAAAAUAUUUUUUAUUUGAAAAAAAUCUUUGUCGCGUGCCCUAAUCUCGUCCUCAGCAAAGAGUUUUGGCAUUUUUCUAAAAAAUAUUUUUUAACUAAAAAAAUGUUUGCCAAGUGUUGUGGCACUCGACAAAAAAUUUCAACAUUUUUCUUAAAAUAAUGGAAAAUCAUUAAAAAAUAUUGCCCCAAAAAAACAGUAGUGCGCACGCAGAUCCGAGUGCGUAUUUUCAAUUAACACGACGCCGUUGUCGUCUUGCUGAAUGCUGAUGACCUGACGUUCAUCUCCUUGCCCAGGCGCAAGGCACCCACAUGGCAACGGGGCUAUCCCCACCGGGUUUGAACUGAACAUUCUAUUUUGCGAUGGGAUCAAAACUCCCCGCUCCCCGUCCCCAUCCCCGCCAUCGGGGCUACAUUUUUCCCGUCCCCGUCUCCGAACGGGGAUUUCAUCCCCGUCGGGUUUUACAUCUUCGAUAAAUCCCCAACAAAUAUAUCGCUAGCAGCAGAACAUUUUAAGAUAUAAAUUCAACAUAAAUAAAAAGUCUCAAUAUAGUAGCACCACUGCAGCCACGACAGAUUGGCAUAGUUCAUCUUCAAUCAGUAAAUAAACAUCCAAAUCCGGAAUCCAAAACCAUCCCUGGGAGAGCCGCGGCCCCAGCAGCAGCACAACAGUGCAGCACCUUGAAGGCACCGCGUACAGCACUAGCGCCGCCAGCGGCCACACCACCACGAACACCGCCGUCGCGUGCGAAUCCUGCCUCGACAGCAGCGCCUCCACGUCUCCCCUGCGCCGCCAUGUCGCCUAGCACUCGGCCAUGGCGCGCAGCCGCACAUCAGCAGGGCGCGACCGUGCGACGAGCGGAGGGCGGGAGGCCAUCGAACUCCUCAUCCAGCUCGUCGGGGCUUCUGGAGGCCGGGGGAAGGAGGAGGGGGCGGCUGAGGAGCUCUCAGAGGCUCAGAGCCAUGGGGGAGGGGGCGGCGGAGGAGCUCUCAGAGGCUCAGAGCCAUGGGGGAGGAGGGAGAGGGGCGGCGGAGGAGCUCUCAAAGCCGCAGCUCGCACACUCGUGCGACGCAAGGCGGUAGCCAGUAGGGGAAGAGUGCGGCGCCUAGGAGGAAAGGGAUGGUGGGGAGGAGCUCUAGGGUUUCACAAUAUAUAUAUAUAUAAGAGUAUUGGGCUGGAUUGAUUGGGCCUCAAAUGGGCUACGGUUGUUACGGGCCGCAGUCGGGGACCCCAGCAGGGAACGGGGACGGGGAGGUGGGGAACGUUCCCAUCCCCGCCUCACCCGACGGGGCUGAGUUUCAGCCGUUAAUGUCCCCGCGGGGCACAAAUCUACCCCAUUUUCUUCCCCUAAUAGAGGAAAUCCCCGUCGGGGGUCGGGGAUCGGGGAUCGGGGCUCCGUUGCCAUCUUGACUGUCGGUGCAGCGUGGAAAGCCACGAACCAGAAUGACGGGCUGCUCCGGGCUCCGGCCUGGUACUACCCGUGGCUUUAGGGAGGUUACGGUGAUGGACGAGUAGUAGCGGCCAUCUCCGAUCAGGGACAAUAAGAGCGUGGGCGUUGGCCAAAAGCAGAGCAGGAGGGGGACUCGGGGCGAUAGCAGCUAGCAUGGGGAGUUCCUAGCCCUAGAGGCUAGAGCUAGAGAGAUCCACUAGGAGGCCUGGAGCCGCAACGCAUUGGGGGAAGGAAAAAACCGCUCGUGGGGAUCGUAGUGGCAGAUGACGGACAAAACAAUAGCGGAAGACAUGAAUAAAGGUGAAUUCCCUUAUGUGAAACAAAGUCCAUACACUGUACGACUACCACCACGCCCAUAUAUGGACAGGAUAUAAUAAAUACGAUCGACAUGCAUUGAACAAGCGCCGGGCUUCCCCUUCGUCUCUAACAUGGCAGAUGGGAAUCGAUCUGCCAAAGGGAAAUCCGUCAUCGUCGACGACGACUAUGAGAUCGACAGCACCAGCGACCAUAAGCAGGGAAGCUAUGGAGACUUCAGCAGAUGCUACGGCAGCCACGACGGUAGCUGCGCCGCCGUUGAUAGGCAUGAUGAUGGCUAUAGCCCCCACUUAUUACCAACGAACUUUGACGAUAACGGUAUGAUCAGCACAUCAUCUUUGCCUUUACCGAUAGCGCCCGCUUAUUACCAACACGUACAUCCGCGCUACUACGAGCAAGUAACCGGCCAAGGCGGCGGUGGUACUAUAACAUCCUUCCCUUUACCUUUCAGCGGCGCCACCGGUAUCUCUGGUCCUCAGCAUCACGUACGCACUGCCGGUAGUCAGUUGUUCACCGGCAUCGGCAGUAGCACCCAGCAUCACUAUGAGCUCUAUCAUAGUGCCAACACCAAAGGCGGUGGCGGCGCAACCUUUCGCUCGCCUCACCUAGAUGAUGGGAUUAGCAUGCACUACGUGCCCCAUCAUGUGCAUGCACCCAACAGCGGGUGUUCACGCUCGCCGCUUCUGUGGUCCAUGGCGCAAAUCGACAGCUUCGUCGUCAACUCGCUAUGAUAUCUCAUCAUUCGCAACCGCGGCGACAGCCUCUUCGCUUGCGAUGGCCGCCGCCGGGCUGUCAGAGUUUGUGAAUAACCUGUAGAAACAGCAAGAUCUGAUCGGCACUGACGAUGACGACGGGCAAAACCAUCCUCAGCGUGGCGUCUUGAACAGCAACGCCGACCAGUUACGUGGGGAGAAGGCUGGAAGACGUGAGGGGUGCCAUGAGUAGCAUCGGAUGGUGGCCAAGGGUGGCGCCACCGUGGCGCAGCAGGUGCUCCACAAGGUCUUCGGUGAUGUCGUGAGGCUCAUGGUCCACGCUGACGGCCACGUGCUCGUCGAGGUAUUAGUGCAGUACUUGACUCACUAUAGGAAACAGAAAGGAUGCUGAAUAUCAUAUGCUUUGCCGAGUGUCAAAUUUCGGAUACUCGGCAAUGAGUCUCUUUGCCGAGUGCCGUACUCACCAAAGAACAGCGCUCGACAAAGAGCCUCUUUGCCGAGUGCUAGACACUCGGCAAAAUGACACUUGGCAAAGAGCCUCUUUGUCAAGUGCCAGACACUCGGCAAAGGUUGCGGAGUGCCGUAGUUUGGCACUCGACAAAAAGGUUUUUUUUUCUCUAAACUUUUCUAAUGUCUUUACACUUUAUUUUGAUGUAUGUUUAAAUUUGGCACGGUUCUCGAUAUAUUUUCUAUAUAUCUUUAAUUUAUUUCAUUUAAACAUAUUUUUCUAAAAAAUACAAUAUUGAACUACAGGUGCAUCGAAUCAUAGUAUUCGAUAACUAGAAAAAUGAUAUAUCAUAAUACGUAUUGUAGUUUGAGGUCGUUUCUAGGAGCAUGUCCGAAAUUUCUAACGUCUUAUGUUUAAAUGAAAUAAAUUAAAAAUAUAUAUCAAAUAUGUCGAGUAAUAUGUCAAAGUUUAACAUGUAUGUCAAAAUAAUGUGUAAAAAAAAGAAAAUAGUUUGGAUGCCAAAAACAAAAAAAUUAUAACUUUGCCGAGUGCCUUAAUGUGGCACUCGGCAAAGAAAAUAUAUAAAAAAAUAAAAAACCUUUGCCGACUGCCCUGUGCACUCAGCAAAGAGUAACUCAUUUUUUAAAAAAUAAAAAUAGCCUUUGCCAAGUGCUGGAUCCGUUGGCACUCGGCAAAGAACAAAAAAAAUUAAAAAAAACUUUGUCGAGUGCCCUGACCUGGCUCUCGGCAAAGAGUUUCGAUAUUUUUCUAAAAAUAAUGGAAAAUCAUUUUUUUAAAAUAAUAUUAUUUAUUUUAAAAAAAUGUUUGCCAAGUGCUCUGGUCUGGCACUCGGCAAAGAGUUUUGGCAUUUUUUAAAAAAUAAUGGAAAAAUCUUUUUUUUAAAAAAGUAUUUUUUUUAUUUAAAAAAACUUUGCCAAGUGCCGUCAUCAACACAGCUAGCGUGGGGAGUUCCUAGCCCUAGAGCUAGAGGGAUCCAUUGGGAGGCCUGGACCCCCGCGCAUUGUGGGAAGGAAAAAACCACUCGUGGGGAUUGCAGGGGCAGAUGACGGAUAGAGCAAUAGCGGAAGGCAUAAAUAAAGGUGAAUUUAUUUCCUUGUGUUAAACAAAGUCCAUGCACUCUACGACUACCACCACACCCAUAUACAUACAGGACAAUAAAUACGAUCGAUCUGCCAAAGAGAAAUCGUCGUCGUCGAUGAUGACUACGAGAUCCGCAGCACCAGCAGCCAUAAGCAGGGAAGCCAUGGAGUGAUAAUAAAUACGAUCGAUCUGCCAAAGAGAAAUCGUCGUCGUCGAUGACGACUACGAGAUCGACAGCACCAGCAGCCAUAAGCAGGGAAGCCAUGGAGACUUCAGCAGCUACGGUAGCCACGGCGCUAGCCGCGCCACCGUUGAUAGGCAUGAUGAUGGCUAUAGCGCCCACUUAUGACCAACAAACAUUGACGACAGCGGCAUGAUCAGCGCAUCAUCUUUGCCUUUGACGAUAGCGCCCACUUAUUACCAGCAUGUAGAUCCGGGCUACUAUGAGCCCGUAACCGGCCACGGCGGCGGUGGUACUACAGCAUUCUUCCAUUUACCUUUCAGCGACGCCACCGUUAUCUCUGGUCCUCAGCAUCAUGUACGCACCACCGGUAAUCAGCUGUUCAUCGGCAUCGGCAGAAGCACCCAACAUCACUAUGAGCUCUAUCAUAGUGCCAACGCCAAUGGUGGCGGUGGUGCAACCUUCCCCUCGUCUCACCUAGACGAUGAGAUUGGCACGCACUACGCGCCCCAUCAUGCACAUGCUCCUCCAUGGAGCAAAUCGACAGCUUCAUCGGUAACUCGCUAUGAUCUCUCAGCAUCCGUGACCGCGGCGACAACCUCCUUGCUCUCGGUGGCCGCCGUCGGCUGUCGGAGUUUGUGAAUAACCUGCAGGAGCCGCAAGAUCUAAUCGGCACUCAUGAUGACAAUAGGCAGAAUCAUCCUCAACGUGGUGUCUUGAACAACAAUACACCGACCAGUUGUACAUAGGGAGGAGGCUGGAGGACGUGAGUUGUGCCAUGAGUAGCGUCGCUAGGAACACCCCCAGGUGUUGUUUCUAGUCCGGAUGGUGGCCGAGGACGGCGGCGCCACGGCGCAGCAGGUGCUCCACGAGGUCACCGGCGAUGUCGUCAGGCUCAUGGUCCACGUCGAUGGCCACACGCUUGUGGAGCCAUUGGUGCAGUACUUGACUCACUACAGGAAAUAGGAAGGAUGCCGAGUGUCAUAUGUUUUACCGAGUGCCAAAUUUCAGGCACUCGGCAAAGAGCCUCUUUGCCGAGAGCCAGACACUCUGCAAAGUGCCUCUUUGCCGAGUGCCACACACUCGACAAAAAGGUUGGCACUCGAUAAAGAGGCUUUUUUGCCUCUAAACUUUCUCUACUGCCUUUACACUUUAUUUUGAAGUGUAUGUUCAAAUCUGGCACAGUUCUUGAUAUAUUUUCUAUAUGUUUUUAAUUUAUUUCAUUUAAACAUAUUUUCUGAAAAUACAAUAUCGAACUACAGGUGCAUCGAAGCAUUGAAUUCAAUGAUUGGAAAAAUGAUAUUCAUGAUGCUUAUUGUAGUUUGAGGUCAUUUCCAGGAGCACAUCCAAAAUUUCUAAUAACUUUUAUACGAAACAUGGCCAAAGUUGCCGGAGAAAUGCAUUUUAAUUAUAUAAAUUACAAAUGAAGACUGAAAAUCUUAAAACCUGGUGACACGUCUUAACAUCACAUGUGGAUGCUAUGAUAAAAAUUUGAGAUGUUUUGCAAAAGUUGUCAUGUACGUUAGUUAUAAACCUACACCUCUCACAUGUGAUCACGUGUGAGAUGAAGUGAGAGGUGUAGGUUUAUAACUAUUGUACGUGACAACUUUCACGAAAUAUUCCCAAAUUUUUAUCAUAGCCUCCUCAUGUGAUGUCAAGACAUAUUGCCAGGUUUCAUGCUUUUUCAGACUUCAUUUGCAUUUUAUAUAAUUAAAAUGUUUUUCUCCCAUAUGUUUGUCGCCAUAUUUCGUGUAUAACACUUUCGAAAUUUCAGGCUUGCUCUUAGAAACAGCCUCAAACUACAAUACGUAUCGUGAAUAUCAUUUUUCUAAUCAUUAGAUUCUAUGAUUUGAUGCACCUAUAGUUAAAACUUUCAUUUUCCGUAAAAAUAUGUUUAAAUGAAAUAAAUUAAAUAUAUAUAUCAAAUAUGUCGAGAAAUAUGCCAAAGUUUAACAUGUAUGUCAAAAUAAUGUGUAAAAAAAAGAAAAUACUUUGGAUGCCAAAAACAAAAAAUUAUAAUUUUUGCCGAGUACCUUAAUGUGGCAAGCUGCAAAGAAAAUAUAGAAAAAAAAUAAAACACCUUUGUCGACUGCCUGUAGUGUGCACGCGGCAAAGAGUAUUUUUUUAAAAAAAUUUAAAAAUAAAAAUAGCCUUUGCCGAGUGCUGGAUCAGUUGCACUCGGCAAAGAAUAUUUUUUAUAAAAAAAUCUUUGCUGAGUGCCCCGACCUGGUUCUCGGCAAAGAGUUUUGGCAUUUUUUUGAAAAUAAUGGAAAAUCAUUUUUUCUAAAAAGGUAUUUUUUUUAUUUAAAAAAAGUGUGCCGAGUGCCUUGAUCGGUAGCACUCAGUAAUUUUUAAAAAAUAAUGGAAAAAUCAUUUUUUAAAAAAAAAAUUGAAAAAACUAUAUAUGUUGAGUGCCCUGAUCAACACAACUAGCGUGGGAAGUUCUUAGCCCUAGAGCUAGAGGGAUCCACUGGGAGGCCUGGAGCCCCAGUGCAUUGGGAGAAGGAAAAAACCACUCAUGGGGAUCGCAGGGGUAGAGCAAUAGCGGAAGGCAUGAAUAAAGGUGAAUUUUCUUGUGUUAAACAAAGUCCAUGCACUCUACGACUACCACCAUGACCAUAACAUACAGGAUAGUAAAUACUAUCGACAUACAUGGAACAAGCACCGGGCUUCCCCUUUGUUUCCAACAUGGCAAAUGGGAAUUGAUCUGCCAAAGGGAAACCUGUCAUUGUCGAUGUCGACUACGAGAUCGGCAGCACCACCAGCAACCAUAACCAGGGAAGCCAUGGAUACUUCAGCAGCUUCUACGAUAGCCACAGUGUGGUAGCCGUGCAGCUGUUGAUAGGCAUGAUGAUGGCUAUAGCGCUCACUUAUUACCAACGAAGUUUGACGAUAACGGCAUGAUCAACACAUCAUCUUUGCAUUUGACGAUAACGCCCACUUAUUACCAGCAUGUAGAUCCGGGAUACUACGAGCCAGUAACCGGCCACGACGGUGGUGGUACUACAACAUCCUUCCCUCUACCUUUCAGUAGAGCCGCCGGUAUCUCUGGUCCUCAACAUCAUGUACGUACCACCGAUAAUCAGCUGUUUGCCGACAUCGAUAGUAGCACCUAGCAUCACUAUGAGCUUGAUCAUAGUGCCAACACCAAGGGCGGCGGCAGUGCAAUCUUCCUCUCUCCUCACCUAGAUGAUGGGAUUGACAUGCACUACGUGCCCCAUCUUGUGCAUGCACCCAACAGCGGGUGUCCACACUCCCUGCUCCCGUGGUCCAUGGAGCAAAUCGACAACUUCAUCUGCAACUCGCUACAAUCUCUCAGCAUCUACGACCGCGGCGACAACCUCCUCGCUCACGGUUCCGCCGCCGGCUGUCAGAGUUUGUGAAUAACCUGCACUAGUAGAAGCAAGAUCUAGUCGGCACUCACGAUAACAACUGGCAGAAUCAUCCUCGGCGUGGUGUCUUGAACAACAACGACGACGUACGUGGGGAGGAGGCUAAAGGACGUGAGGGUGCCAUGAGUAGCGUCGCCACGAACACCCUCGGGUGCCGUUUCCUGGUCCGGAUGGUGGCCAUGGCGGCGCCACCGUGGCGCAGCAGGUGCUCCACGAGGUCACCGUCGAUGUCGUCAGGCUCAUGGUCCACACGCCGACGGCCACAUGCUCAUCCAGGCACUGGUGCAGUAUUUGACUCAUUACAAGAAACAUGAAGGAUGCCGAGUGUCAUAUCCUUUGCCGAGUAACGCACUCGACAAAGAACGACACUCAACAAAGAGCCUCUUCACCGAGUGCCAGACACUCGGCAAAGAGCCUCUUUGCCAAGUGCCACACACUCGGGAAAGGUUGGCACUCGGCAAAGAGGUUUCUUUUGCCUCUAAACUUUUUCUACUGUCUUUACACUUUAUUUUGAGUGUAUGUUCAAAUUUGGCAUAGUUCUCGAUAUAUUUCCUAUAUAUCUUUAAUUUAUUUUAUUUAAACGUAUUUUUUCUGAAAAUACAAUAUCGAACUAUAGGUGCACCGAAUCAUAGAAUUCGAUGAUUGGAAAAAAUAAUAUUUAUGAUACUGAUUGUAGUUUGAGGUCGUUUCUAGGAGGACGUCCAAAAUUUCUAACGUCUUUUAUACAAAACAUGACCACGAAGUUGUGGAAGAAAUGCAUUUUAAUUAUAUAAAUUACAAAUGAAGGCCGAAAAUAUUAAAACCUAGCGACAUGUCUUAACAUCACAUGUGGACGUUAUGAUAAAAAUUUGGGAAAUGUUUCGCAAAACUUGUCAUGUACGUUAGUUAUAAAUCUACACCUCUCACAUGUGAUCGGAUGUGAGAUGAAGUGAGAGCUAAUGUACGUGACAACUUUUACGAAAUGUUCCCAAUUUUUUAUGGUAGCCUUCUCAUGUGAUGUCAAAACGUGUUGCUUUGCAUUUUAUAUAAUUAAAAUGUAUUUCUCCCAUAAGUUUGUUGCCAUGUUUCAUGUAUAGCACUUUCGAAACUCCAGGCUUGCUCUGGGAACCGCCUCAAAAUACAAUACAUAUCGUGAAUAUCAUUUUUGUAAAUGUUAAAUUCUAUGAUUCGAUGCACCUGCAGUUAAAACUUCCAUUUUUCGUAAAAUACGUUUAAAUAAAAUAAAUUAAAGAUAUAUAUCAAAUAUGUCUAGAAAUAUGCUAAAGUUUAACAUGUAUGUCAAAAUAAUGUGUAAAUAGAAAAAAAUAAUUUGGAUGCCCAAAACAAAAAAAAAAUUAAAACUCUGCCGAGUGCCGUAAUGUGGCACUCGGCAAAGAAGAUAUAGAAAAAAAAUAAAACAACUUUGUCGAGUGUCCUGCACUUGGCAAAGAGUAAUUUUUUAUAAAAAAUAAAAAUAGCCUUUGCCGAGUGCUGGAUCAAUUGGCACUCGCCAAAGAAUAAUUUUUUUACAACAAAAAAUCUUUGCGGAGUGCCCUGACCUGGCUCUCAGCAAAGAACUUCGGCAUUUUUUUGAAAAUAAUGAAAAAUGAUUUUGUUAAAAAAUAUUUUUUAUUUGAAAAAAAGUUUGCCGAGUGCCUUAACCUCGCUCUCGGCAAAGAGUUUUGGCAUUUUUUAAAAAAAUAAUGGAAAAUCAUUUCUUUAAAAAAAAAUUUUAUUUGAAAAAAACCUUUGUCGUGUACCCUGAUCAACACAGGUAGCAUGGGGAGUUCCUAGCCCUAGAGCUACAGGGAUCCACUGGGAGGCCCGGAGCCCAGCGCUUUGGGGGAAGUUAAAAAACCGCUCGUGGGGAUCGUAGGGGCAGAUGACGCACAGAGCAAUACGGAAGGCAUGAAUAAAGGUGAAUUUCCUUGUGUUAAACAAAGUCCAUGCACUCUAAAAAUACCACCACGCUCACAUACAUACAGGAUAAUAAAUACGAUCGACAUACAUGGAAUAAGCGCCGGACUUCCCCUCAGUCUCCAACAUGGCAGAUGGGAAUCGAUCUGCCAAAGGAAAAUCCGUCGUCGUCGACGACGACUACGAGAUCGGUAGCAACAACGGCCAUAAGCAGGGAAGCUAUGGAGACUUUAGCAGCUACUACGGCAGCCACAGUGGUAGUCGCGCCGCUGUUGAUAGGCAUGAUGAUGGCUAUAGCGCCCACUUAUUACCAAUGAACUUUGACAACAACGGCAUGAUCAGCACAUCAUCUUUACCUUUGACGAUAGCGCCCACUUAUUACCAGCACGUAGAUCUGGGCUACUACGAGCCAGUAACCAGCCACGACGGUGUGGUACUAUAGCAUCCUUCCCUCUACCUUUCAGCUGCGCUGCUGGUAUCUCUGGUCCUCAGCAUCAUGUACGCACCGCCGAUAAUCAGCUGUUCACCGGCAUCGGCAGCAGCACCCAGCAUCACUAUAAGCUCUAUCAUAGUGUCAACACCAACCGCGGUGGCGGCACAAUCUUCCCCUCACCUCACCUACAUGAUGGGAUUGACAUGCACUACGCGCCCCAUCAUGCGCAUGCACCCAACAACGGGUGUCCACGCUCGCCGCUCCCAUGGUCCAUGGAGCAAAUCGACAGCUUCAACAGCAACUCGCUACGAUCUCUCAGCAUCCGCGAUCGUGGUGACAAUCUCCUCGCUCACGGUGGCCGUCGCGGGCUAUCAGAGUUUUUGAAUAACCUGCAGGAGCCGCAAGAUCUGGUUGGCACUCUCGAUGACGACGGGCAGAAUCAUCCUCAGGUGGCGUCUUGAACAGCAAUGUCGACCAGUUGUACAUGGGGUGGAGGCUAGAGGACGUGAGGGGUGCCAUGAGUAGCGUCGCUAGGAACACCCCCGGGUGCCGUUUCCUGGUACAAAUGGUGGCCGAGGGCGGCGCCGCCAUGGCGCAACAGGUGCUCCACAAGGUCACCGGCGAUGUCGUCAGGCUCAUGGUCGCGAUGUCGUCAGGCUCAUGGUCCACGCUGAUGGCUAGACGCUCAUCGAGGCAUUGGCACAGUACUUGACUCACUACAGAAAACAGGAAGGAUGUCGAGUGUCAUAUGCUUUGCCGAGUGCCAAAUUUUGGGCACUCGGCAAAGAGCCUCUUUGCCGUGUGCCACACUCGGCAAAGAAUGACACUAGGUAAAGAGCCUCUUUGCCGAGUGGUAGACAGACACCCAACAAAUUUUGGCACUCAGCAAAGAGCCUCUUUGCCGAGUGUCAGAAACUUGGCAAAGGUUGCUACUCGGCAAAGAUGUUUUUUUUUGCCUCUAAACUUUUUCUACUGUCUUUACAGUUGAUGUUGAAGUGUAUGUUCAAAUUUGACACUGUUCUCGAUAUAUUUAUUAUAUAUCUUUAAUUUAUUUCAUUUAAAUGUAUUUUUCCAAAAAUACAAUAUCGAACUACAGGUGCAUCGAAUAAUAGAAUUUGAUGAUUGGAAAAAUAAUAUUCAUGAUACUUGGUCGUUUCAAGGAGCACAUCCAAAAUUUCAAACAUCUUAUACACGAAACAUGGCCAUAAAGAUGUGGGAGAAAUAUAUUUUAAUUAUAUAAAUUACAAAUGAAGGCCGAAAAUAUUAAAACCUGGCGACAUGUCUUUUACAUCACAUGUGGCACCUCUCACAUGUGAUCACAUUUGAGAUGAAGUGACACGUGUAGGUUUAUAACUAUCGUAUAUGACAACUUUCACGAAAUGUUCCCAAAUUUUUAUCAUAGCCUCCUCAUGUGAUGUCAAGACAUGUUGCCAGGUUUUAUGUUUUUCAGACUUAAUUUAAUAUUUUUCUUCCAUAAGUUUGUCGCCUUGUUUCGUGUAUAACACUUUCGAAAUUUUGGGCUUGCUCUUGGAAACGGCCUCAAAACUAUAAUAUGUAUCGAGAAUAUCAUUUUUGUAAUCAUCAAAUUUUAUGAUUUAUACAAAAAUAAUCUAAUUAUACUAAUUUUGUUUUAACAAUAUUAAUAUAUUUUUAUACAGAAAAGUCAAAAUUAUACUAAUUUUACUAGUUGUAGCAGUUGGUACUAAAAUAAUAGUUGUUGUUAGUUGUUGUAGUAGUAGUAGUAGAAGUAAUAGUAGUAGCCGUAGCGACAUGGUGGUAGUAGUAGUACUACUGGUAGUAGUACUCAAUACUAGUAUUAGUGAUUAGUAUAGUAUUACUGAUUAGUAGUGAGUAUUGAUUAGUAGUGAUUAGUAGUGGUGCUGGUGGUAGUAGCACUAGUAGUAGUAUAGUGAGUAUAGUGGUGGUGGUGGUACUAGUACUAGCACUAGUAGUAGUGAUUAGUAGUAGUGACUACUACUAUACUAAUAGUAAUAGUGUUAUUAGUAGUGAGUAGUGAUUAGUAGUAGUAGUAGAUUAUAGUAGUGAGUAGUGAUUAGUAAUGGUAUACUAUGUAGUAGUGAUAGUAGCGAUUAAUAGAACAUGGAUCUCCAUCUAGUAGUAGCGAUUAGUAGUACUCUCCAUCUAGUAGUAGUGAUUAGUAGUAGUAGUAACUAUACUACUACUACUACUACUAGUAGUACUGUUAUUAGUAGUGAUUAGUGAUUAGUAGUAUUAGUAGAUUAGUAGUGAGUAGUAGAUUAGUAGUGGUAUAGUACUCCCUCGGUCCCUGAAAGCUUUAAUUCCUAGAGCAAAAAUUUGUCCACUAAAAAAUCAAUUCCUAGAGAUUUGACCAUCUAUCAACUCGUUUAAUAGUCCUCGUAUUCCCCCAUCCUAAUUACUACCGCAUCCCUCCACCAAUCAGUUGCCCGAGCUGCACCCGUAUGAGUAGGAGUAGUAAAUGAUAGGAGCUGGAUGAGUAAUUAAUGAUAGACCUGUUGCAACGAUUACUGUGCAAUUUAAUGGUAGAACUCAAAUUAAUUAAGGGUAAUAUGGUCAUUUGGUAGCUAUGCUAAUCUGUCUGAAACUUGCUAGAAAUUGAAGCUUUUAGAGACAGAGGGAGUAUGACUAUAUAUGAAGGCCCUUUGCGCUCUUGCUUCCUAUGGCCACCAUCACUUAAGGCCCUUCAUGCGAAUGCAACUUUGCUCUUCACUAUGUGAUUUUGUGAUUUCAAGGGGUACACUACAGAUAAAAUCAAAUACCAUAACAGAGGGCAUUAUACUGACUGAUCAUUAAUAAGUAACAGUAAAUUAUUGUAUAUAAUAAAAGGGCAUCACAAAAGGGAUAUACCUUUCGUGCAAUUAAUUUGGGAGAAACACUAAAGAAUGGAAUGUUUCCUAGUCAUAUUGUGAAGGGAUACUAAACUUUUAGACUUUCAAAAGAGUUGCAUCUGUUAAUCUCCAAGAUGGCAGAACAUGUAUCUGUUGGGAGGAUCUUUGGUCUAACAUAAUUUCAUGUCUGGUUUCCCAGAGUUUUUUUUCUUUGCAAAGGAUAAAAACAUUGUUUUUUAAGUCAUAAAUGAAACUUCACCGAUUUACAGGAUCUUCCAUUUGCCUGUCAACCCAACCUUAUGAUCUCACUACAGCUGUUAGAGCAAGACUUGUAAGAUACUUUCAUGACAUGAUAAUUAAUAUUAGAGUUACAUUUGGGGUCUCAAUCUUUACAAAUCCACAAAAACUUGGUUCAUUAUAACAUUCAUAUACAGAAGGAUUUGGACAACCUCAUGUCAGUCUAAGCACAAAGGCUCUGCUUGCUGCAGCUAUUGCUGUGGCUCGUGGCUACUGUAGCACAUGUUGUGCAGUUGCAGCUGUACAGCUCAGCCGAUCGGACUGAAAGUUUUUUUUUUGGCUCUUACUUGAAGAUAGAUUGUGUACGAGAGGGCUUCUGAAGAGGAAAAUAUUGACCUGCCUUCAUAUGACUCUGUUAUUUGCUCCACUGCCAUAUAUACAAGAAUCACUUGAACAUUUGUACCUGAAUUUCAAUUUUGCAUCACUUGCUGAACUCUUUUCAAUCUGACACUUCUUCCACAAGCGGCUCCAUUGGAUGCUUUUAAAUGUUUCAGGCAUCAGUUGGAUAUUUUUAGCCGUUUAUAUGGAAGUAUAUGUUUAGGACAACAACAUGAUCUUCAAAAUACAACUUUGACCCCUUAUUUUCAUAAUGGUAUAUGCAUACUUUCAUGAAAGUAUUUUCCAAGGCAAAUCUAUUCAAAUAAUUUUCACAUUUGCAAACUCAACAAUUUAAAAGUUAUUUAUGAUUUAUAUUCCUAAUGUUUGGCCCAAAUCUUGUCCAAAACGACUUCUAAAUCCUAUAUGGAGGGAGUUCACAUGCUCUUCAGACAUAAUCCACUACCCUUUCAUCGGUCGGGUCCAGACAAAAAGCGUAGGUUUUGAUAGAUAAGACAACAAUAGAGAGUAUAAUUAUUUUUUGUUGCGUAAAAUAGAGAGUAUAAUUUUGAAACAUGGAAAUGUUAAUUUCUAGGGAAUUACGGCACCCUUACAUUCAUUGUCCAAAACAGUAAAUAACCAUGCUCAGUUAAAACAAAUGAGGCACAUCGAGGCAUUUUUACUCUACUUUUAAUGAACACGUGUGGUCCACCUUUAAUCGUUUCUAAACAAAAGUUUCAAGUAGGACAACAUAGGAGUAAUGCUCUCUGUAAGGGCGUCGAUACAAUACAUGUCUUGACUACAAGUAUAGUACUCUGCCAAUCCUUUUAUGCUGUAGGACUUUAAUAAUAAUGGGAAGGAUUGAUGAAUUAUUUACAUGCAGUUGCUCAAUGGUUUGAUGUGUCCAGUGAACUUGUGAGAAAGACUAUAUACAGUGAACGGCUAUAAGAGGCAGCGGAUGGCACGAGAGAUGUGGCCAUAUAUGGAGAGGUUUGGCGUGCUCUAUAGCUAUGAUUUGGUGUGUUUCAGUAGCUAUUUUUUGGUGAGCAAAAUCUUACAAUUGCUCUGCAUUUCCAGUGUCAUAGGUGAUGCCUUGUUUGACUAGGCAUGGGUGGUGUCGGAAAUUUAAGGACCUCUUGUCACCUCGAUAGGCCAAGAUAUGAUGCCAGCCCAGAAUCAUAUCACUCGAUUAGUUCGUCACAAAUCCAGCUCUGUGGUGUCAUUACCGGUUGUUUUGUUGUCUGGCACCACUUUUCAUUGGUAGUCUUCUCAACCUGGAGUUCGAGCAGAGAAGUUGGUGGGAUUUAGUGGAGGAGAACAGUAGCGACAAAGGAUUAUUUGUUUAAAUUUAACUUCUCUCUGUUACAACCUCAUGUUGUCCAUCAGUAGUGUGCCAGCUAGCAUACUAGUUCAUCACCCAACUUAUGAACACUCCAUGGGCCGGGAUUAGCCAACUCCGGCACACAAUGCUGUGGGCUCCGAUCAAUUACUCCGAUCCGCGUAUCCACUGGUGGUGUCACACAGACGAGUUAGCUCCUACAUAUAGUUUUGUGUAUGCUUAAUCGCUCCUAUGCUCUUACGGAUAUUUGAUGGUGCAUGCAGUACUGCAACAUCGACCACCUGUUCAUUGCAUGUCCAUUCUACUGUCUGCAAUCACAAGUCACAUAUGUAAUGCAGUUAUAUGGGGAGGAAAAUUGAAGCAUGUUUGUGCUCCCUAGAUAGAAAACCAAGUUCUUAGUUUGUCAUAUUUCAAAUAAAAUGUAUUUUAUCAUCUCAUGUUAAUCUUUUAUCUAUAUUAUUACAUGGUGUCCCCCUUUACUCCAAAUUAGCAUUGAAUUAAAAAAAUAUAGAAGCUUGCCCGACAGCCGAGAUGCCCAUAUUUUGUUGCAUAACAAUGUCUGCGGCAGACACUACAAUGUGACGAAUAAAAAGAGUUCCCUAUGCAUUAAGAUCCUUCUUUGGAAUUAAUAGCUAAAACAACAAUAGAUCUGUACUCACGUAUAAUUUUGAAGCAUUUAAAGCUAGCUUAUAUUAACCUGGGAAUUGGGGAAUAUGACAUGGAAAACCAGCAGGGUCCAUACACUCAUUUUAUUAUCUGAAAUACCAGUAACCAUGGUGAGAUAUGAAAUACCAGUAACCAUUGUGAGAUCGAUAUAAAACGGAAUGUGAGGUAAAGUGUUUUUGAUAUACUUUUAAAGAAACGCACAGGUCCACCUUUAUCAUUUCCAAAUAGAAGUGUUAGGUACGUAGUAGAAUAUAAGAGUAGAAAUGCUUUCCGUAAGACAUCGAUCCAUUUCCUGAUCACUACUGGAUUUAUGUACCGGUUCAUUUGUGCUGUACCAUUUAUGUGACAUACACUACUACAAGUAUUGGUCGAUGUCCAAAAUCGCCAAAAACCUCGGCCAUUUUGCGGUCUGGGGCUAAAAGCCCCUUUAACACCGAUUUGUAACAAGGGCCGGUGCCAAAGGGUCCUUCCCAACGGCUACUGACAGGUGCUGUCGGAGCAGGAACCCUUUAGCACCGGUUUGCGUUACCAACCAGUGCUAAAGGGUCCCCUUUAUCACUGGCCAGUGCCAUGGGCCGAGGCAAACCCUUUAGCACCAGUUGAUAACACGAACCGGUGCUAAAGGGUGACCCUUUAGCACCGAUUUGUGCCCUGAACCGGUGCUAAAGGUCCGGUUUAUAGGCCGGCUACCUAUGCCUGGGAUCAUUUGAAACCGAGAGCACCAUUAUUGUUCUUAGAGCUUCCAUUUUAUUGUUCUUGCUUGUUCUUCCUUUGUUCUUCAUCUCCGACGCCCAUCGUUGAUCUUCUUCGACUCCAUCAUCGUCUCUUCGUGCUUGGAGGUGACUAACUUCAUCCUUUCUUGUCUUUUUCAUGUUGUUUUUGGCUUGUGAUUUUCGCAUCAUUUUUAGCUCAAAUCCACUUUGUUAUUUUGAAUCAUUCACUUGAAUAUAUAUAUAUAUAUAUAUAUAUAUAUAUAUAUACGGUUGCG
Molecule: long non-coding RNA, 80212 nt
Filed under: Sorghum bicolor (sorghum)
Lineage: Eukaryota; Viridiplantae; Streptophyta; Magnoliopsida; Poales; Poaceae
Description: long non-coding RNA (SBIC_LNC011165)
Rfam family: MIR5387 microRNA precursor family (bases 79663-79756)
Source: RNAcentral